UGAUUCUACAAAUGUAUCUGAGUUCCGACCUUCAUUGAGAUUAUCAUCACAUCCCUCUGUGUUGAGAAUCUGAAGACCUGAGCAAAAUCGUUUUCGGGAACCCAAGCUAGAAGAAUCGUCAAUAUCAUAAAUGUUCAGGGGAGGGAGAUUUGAUGCUAAAUGAUCACCCUCUCCUCUUUCUUUACAUGUGCUUCCCUUUUUCUUAAGAAAAGUUUGAUGCUUUGUGACUUCUUCAAUAUCAGAACAUAGAAGAGAAACAGUACCUUGCAACUUAUUAGCUGCAUCCUGCUUUCUUUGUUGCAUUGGUAAAAGGAAUUCCAGCAACAAUUCCUGCUCCUCUAUUCUCUCUCUAAGCUGUAUUGCUGCUUCACGCUCUUCCAAAUAGUCUCUUGGUUCAUUAAGAAACUCGCUUUGCAGCAAUUCUCUGUCAUACAAUACAUGAGAGUAAGACAAUGAAAAUUUGAUUGAACAGAAAUCAGAUGAAAUGUCAAUCAAAAAAGGUACUUUGCUCAGGGUGCAGUAACCAUAAGCACACAAUGUACUUGUUUGAAGACCUCGAAAAAACUCAUCCACAUAUUAAGGCAGAUGCUACCAUAAAAUGUAAAGUAAACAAAGGUGCAGGAAAUUAACAUUCACCCCAUUUUUGGCCGACUACUUGGCUCAGGGUGCAGUAACCAUAAGCAAAAUGAAGCUUCUUUUGGCCACUUGAGCAGCAAUUGAGGAGGAAGAACCCGAUGUCUGAGACUAGACAUAGUUCUGCUCUUGUCUUCCCUUGAAGUGAAUGGGCUGAACAGCUGUUCACAAGUAGAACUAUAUCACAUCAAUGUAGACAGUAAACAGCAGAAGCUCUUAAGACAUUAUUGCAGGCCAUUUAGAUAAUGAAGAACUUUCUGCUUGAAAUAGAAGUCAAAAGUUCAAAACACAUAUAAGAAAUGGUUUUGAAUCCACUCUAAUUUUGAUCGUUAACAUCAUAAAUGCAACAUUAUCAUUACGAACCUCGAAAAGAAGAACUCCCAAUUGGUAGAUGUCUGAAGCACAAGAGCUUGGUGAACCAGCAACCUCUUCAGGGCUGGUAUACCAACUGGACUCCAUCAGCAAUAUUUGCUUCAUUGGAAAUGGUUGUUUCCUUUCUUCUUCAUGUUCAACGUUCCUCGUACCAAGGACUUUAUUUUCUUCUGUUUCUUCCCCUAAUGGUAAAUCUGCUGCAUAAAGCGAGCUGGACUGCAUGCAACUGGCUUCCGAUAAAGCAUUUGUUGGAGUAGAUGCAGGUAGAAAAUCUUCACUUUGUAACCUACUUCUCUGCUGGCACAUGUCAUGGGAGAAAGAAGAAGCAUUUUUAACCUCCACAGUUUGUCUAUUCAAUCCAUCAUCCAAAGAAUCAGACCCAGAAUCCGAGUAAGAAGCGGACUCGAUGAAGGAGACAUGGUUAAAUGAUGACAUGACAAAGCAAGAAGGCCGGACAUUGUGAACAACAAUUCCCUGUGAAUGUGCCACAUUUACAAUUUCGACUAUUUGCCUAAAUAUGUGCAAACAUUCAAAUUCAUCAACAGACCGUUCUGGUUUGUUCAACCAAUGCCUCAAGCUAACAUCGUUCCACUCCAUGUUUUGGACAAAAUGGUCAACUGCAGCUUCAUCCUCACAAACCCCAGAUAAAGUACCAGCCUGGUUUUUUAGGUUUUGACGAGCCAGAACAACCCUAUCAGUCUCCUUUCUAAACCCAGAGUUGUAAGAUGCGGAUCUUAGAUUCCUGUUGGUGACUACUGAAGUAUUAAAUCCCCUAUAACUACCAGACUUCUGCCAAGCAGACUCAGAUGAGCCCUCCAUGGUUACCCCCCUUGGGCUGCAUGUAAGCCAGAACAAACGCAUCCAAGAAAUGGAGGAAUUCGCCUGCUACUACCACAUUCGCUAACUUCCACCAUUACCAUCUUCAAUCAAUACCUUAUUUCACAGAAAUAGCAAAAAGAACCUUGCUUCUGAUCAAGCCAAAGCUCAAUAACUCAGCUCCUCGAAUAAAAAUACUAACCCUUGCAGGGCAGCGGACACUAGAAAAUAAGAUGAAAUCUUUUAGCAAGCACACUUCUCCUGAGACAACCGCAACCAGCCUAACAUCAAUAAACCAAUAAGAAAAUUUAAAAAAAGUAGAGAAAAAUCAACACUUACAUUAUACCACACACAUUUUUCCUUUCCUUUCUUCAUCCACCGGAAUUAUAAAACUAAGUCCUCACACGUGCACUGUUCAACACCAAAACAACACAAGCACCAGCACAAAAAAAAAAAUCAAAGACAAGUACAAUAAUAUCCAGAAAAGGAGAGAAACUGAAGAUACCCUUUUUACAAUAUAGAAUUAGAAACACGUACCCAGAGGUUUCAUCAAAAAAACAACACAUGCAUCAGAACCAACAAAAGCCCACACACAAUAAUAUUAUAUACAGCCAUUUAAAAGAAGAGCUAGAGAGAAGGAGGGAGGGAUAAGUACCUGUAGCAGCACCAAGAAUGGAUAUUUCUGAUCCUGCUAGACCAAAAGAGAACCACACAACACAACAAGACUUUAGUUACUACACUCCACUAAACACUACAGCCUCAUAAAUUCCCUCAUUUUUCCCUCACAACUUCAAAAAUAAAAUCAAACAAAACCCCUCCACAAAAGAAAAAAUCAACAUGUUUCAAAUAAAAAAAGGAAAAAAAUACCUCUCUCUCUCUCUCUCUCUCUCAUGCUCUGUUUCACUCUAUAUAUUAUAUAGUUCUUCAUGAAAUUAUUAUGAUAUUCUUUCUUUUUUAAGCCACAAGCUCAUGGUUCGCUCUUUGGCUCAUCUCCCCGCUUUAUUCCAUUUGAGUUACGUGGCACCACCAUAGCCUCAACCUUGUUUGUUUAUUUCUUUGCAAAGAAGCCAAAAGGGAUGGUAAAUUUGAAAACUUUGUGGGCCAUCAGUGCCAAAAAAAAAAAAAAACUGUUCUUGAUGAAAAUAAAGAUCUUGGCUUUCUAGAAUUGGAAACUCAAGGUGAGAACAUGAAAAGCAAAUAAGAGCAUGCCUUACAGGUGUGAAUCAUUAAACUAAUCUGAUGAUGUGAUUCUUGUUAGAACAGCACGUAAGAAACAAUUAAGAAUACUAUAGUGGGCAGUUCUUGUUUCUUUAAUCCGAUUAGUGACACUAAAAAUAAUAUUUUACAAGAAACACUCACAUGAUAAAAAAGAAGCUAAUAAACUAUUGAUUAAUGUAAUGAAGCACAAACAAUGAAGCUAAAAAAAACAAAUAAUGGUGAUAAAAUCAACCUUAAAAUGUGGGUUUGAGUUUUGUGGGGCCCGGGCAUAAAAGUAUACAAGGAAGGAAGGGAAGAGGAUAAUAAUAAUAAUAAUUAAGGAUUGAUAAGAGAGGAUGUGGACUAGUGUCAGGUAGGACUAAUUAUUUUUGGUUUGGUUCGGUUUUUAUCUAUAAAAAUCAAUCAAAUCAUAAAAAAAUAGACCUGGAAUCAAACCGAAACCGGCCCAAACCGACCGGUUUCGAUUUGAUUUUUGCUAGCCAAAACCAAAAAACCUAUGUUAUUUUUUGGCUUUGUAAUGAGCUUCGUAAUUGGUUUUUAACGGAUUUCUGAUGGGCUUGCAAUUAAUGUUGAUAUUGUCUAAUUUUCAUUGAAGAUUCAAAAGCAUAUUUAAUUUUUUUACCACUAAAUAUUAAUUUGUAUUAAAUUGUUAUUGUCAAUCUUAUGUAUAUUGAGUUUUUUUACCACUGAAUAUUCAUUUAUAUGAAAUUAUUAAUGUCAAUCUUGUGUUCAAUAUAUUUUUUACCUUCCUAAUAUUUUUAUGCUUCUGAAAAGUUUAAAUAACACACUCACAAUCACACACCAAUAAGUUAAAAUUCAAAUUACAAAUCAUUGCCUUUAAAGGGCUUAAAGAAAAAAUAACAAAUAAAACUAUCAUAAAACACUCCAAGCCAAAAAAAAAAAAAUCUUCAUUUGCACAUCGUCUCAAUAAAAAAAAACUUCAAGACCAUUGCAUUUUGAUUCCUGAAAUUCAUAAUCUAGAAUUAUAACAUGAUAAAUUAAAUUAGAAAAUAAAAAAAAUAAUAUUUUUACCAUAUGUUUUCAAUAAAUGCAUCACAAUUUGUGAACUAAUUAUCAUCCGUUGCUAGAUGUAACUUUCCAUCAAAUUCUACAAAAUAAAAAAUUAAACAUGUUAGAAUAAAAAUGUGUUAAUUAUUAAUAAAUCAUAAAACAAAAGAUGUAAGUUUUUAAAAAACAUUACCUGAUCCAAGGUUUUUGUAGGUUUCAAAAUCAUUCAUCAAGGUUGUAUUAUCAAUUGGAAUUGGACCAUGAUGCAACCAAUUUUGACAACAAAUAAGUGUUUGAACUGUUGCUAGAGAUAGAGAACUUCGAAAUUGGUUGAGUAUACGACCACCUGUGCUAAAGGCUGAUUUAGAAGCCACUAUGGAUAUAAAAAUAGCCAGAACAUGUUGUGCAACUUUUGAAAGUAUCUUAUAUUUUGAAGAAACAUUAAUCUUCCACUAACCUAAAAUAUCUAAUUUAUCAUUAUUAGGAUCCUCACAACCAUCAACCAAAUACGUCUCAACCUCAUUUCUAUUUUUCACACUAUCUUCCUCCUGUAAGUGCCUUUUGAAUCGAGGUAAAGUGUUAACAUCUACCUCCACAUCAUCAAUAGCAUCAUUAACAUCUUAUUUAUGCCUAUUAUCAUCCACCACUUCAUCAGCUUUCAAAUAAAACUCAUACAAGCUCACCAAAUUAUCUUUCAUUUUUUUUUGUUAGCAAUUGUGCUUUGUUAUAAUCAUACAACUCACCAAAAAAAAAUUUCACAUAUGUUAACUUAAGACGUGGAUCCAAAACAUUAGCCACAUACAAUAAAAAAUUUUGAUUUGCUUCACAACCCCAAUACUUCUCAAACUUACUCAUCAUGUUCAUCGUCAUUCCACUCAAAAGAUUAUCUCUACUUUUACAUAAUUGCAACAAGUUUGUAUGCAUGUAAAUCAAUUCAUUGAAGAAUGAAUUUGAUGUGACAUGCAAUGAGCCAGAAAAUUUCAAUGUAAUCAUGUAAAAGAUCUUUAAAAACUUCAGCAAAGUUCUAACAUUUUUCCAAUCCUCCAAACUAGGUGGUCCUAUGUUUUUUUUAUUCUCCUUUGAAUCAACCUCCAAAAAGUAACUCAUAUACAUAGGUUCACUUUGACCUAACCUCACAAACACCUUUUCAAACUUUUCAGCAGCUUCUAGCAUAAGAUAAGUUGAAUUCCAUCGAGUUGCAACAUCCAAAUACAAUGAUUUCUUACACUCUAUAUGCAACUUUUCUGCACACUUCUUAAAUGCAAGUAGCCUAGAAGAUAAAGAUCUCACAAACCUAAUUGCAUUUCGAAUCUUAACAACCAAAACAUCAAUCUCUUUCAAACCAUCACACACAAUGAGGUUUACAAUGUGUGCACAACAUCUAACAUGCAAAUGUUCAUUUGACAAUAUAUUAGUUAGCCAAUCUUUCAUCACAUUCUUUAAAUAUAAAAUAGUAACACUAUUAGAGCUUACAUUGUCUACUGUAACAGUUAAAAGUUUAUCAAUCCCCCAAUCUAACAAACAAUUCUCAAUAACUUGACCAAUUGUUUCACUCAUAUGAUUGGAAACUUGACAAAAAUUCAGAAUUUUUUUAUGCAAAUUCCACUCACUAUCAAUCCAAUGAGUCGUUAAGGACAUAUAGUUAAUGUUUUGGAUUGAUGUCCAUGUAUAUGUUGUUAAGCAUAAUCGUUGACCCUUAAGAGCUCUCUUUAAUCUUUCCUUCUCUUCAACAUAAAGUUUUAAAUAAUCUCUCAUAAUAGUGAAACGAGAAGGAAUGUCAAAUCUAGGCUGCAAGGUCCUAAAAAAUAAUCUAAAUCCCUUACCCUCAACAAAAUUAAAAGGCAACUCAUCAAUUAUAACCAUUUUUACUAGUGCAUGUCUACAUUUAUCAUAAUCAUAACCUAUUGCCUUAAGAGUUCCCACACUUCGAUCUCCUGAUUCACCCCCCGCUUUAUUAGGUUCUAAUACCAAAAGUUUUUGCUUCUUAUCAACCACAAAAGGAAACUUUUUGUAUACUUUUAAAUGACUCCGCAUAUUACUUGUCCCAUUAAUAAUAGUAUGACAUGCAUAACCCUUUUCACAAUAAUUACAUUCAGCUCUAGGGAUUGUAGGAUCACCAUCAAGUUUGGUAAAAUGAUAUGCUUGGCAAUCAGACUAUAGUUUACCUCACCCCCACUCCCAUCAAAAUUCAAAUGAGAAGCAUGUUAUUCUGCAUAUGAUCUGCUUGGAAAACCGUAAAUAGAAGUGUUACCCCUGUUCAGGGAGCUAUUGCUACAUCAUACAACAUGUUUACUAUUUGCUAAGGAGCUUCACCAUUUAAAAAAAAAACAGUAAAACCUAUAUCAUCCAUUCAUUUCAGAAGCAGUGGAAUGGUAAGUGAUAUUAUCACACUACAAACCAGAACUAGGGCAUAAAACCAACACAGAUAAACAUAAAAAGGAAAUCUCAAAACUGAUAAAAAAAAUACUAAAUGAAUAACAUAAAAAAAAGCUGACCAAAAACUGGUAGAUGAUAUGGAAAAUGGAAAUGCAAGUUUUAGCUGCUAGAUUUCUAUGUUAUACUUAUUUCAGGUUUUAACUUAUAAUCAUAGGUUCUUUAGACAGCAGGUACAAAUUGUCGAAAAAGGUGUUUGACUCAUUUUUUAUUUUCUAUCAAUUCUUAAAAUUUGUGUCCAAGCUAAUUGACAGCUUCUGUAGAGCUUAUUUGAGUUAUUUUUGUUUUCAUUUUUUGCAGAUUAUGUUUUAUGAAGCCUUGAAAGAUUUGGCAGGUUAUCUUAAAGACUUAAACAUCAUUUUUCUUGUGAUGAAACUAAUUUCGUUCACAGAAUCACAGUAAUAAUAGCCAUGAGGAGACACAACACUAAGCAGGCAUGAAUAAACAUUGAACAUAAAAAAAAACCAAUACUAAAUACGGAUGAUUAUACACUAUCAAUAAUUAAAUAGAAAUUCCUAACAAAUUAGUAAAGCAAUUUGAUAAUCAGUAAUUUCAACAAUUUUUUUUUUCUAACAAUAUUGAAUCAAAGAAGGUCAGUAAUCAGUAUCCAAAUUAACUUGAAUAAUCUAAAAAACACAUGAAUAAAUUCUGACAUAUAUGAAACAACAAGCAGAAUGCCUUCAACAGAAUCAGCACAACAACUGUAUCCUUAUUCUUUGACCUCUACAUUGAAAAAAAAAACAAAUACAAUAAAUUAAAUAGAUGAUAAACAGAUAAAUCUAGGCAAAAUAUGAGCAGCCAUUAGUUAAUUAAUUAAAACGGAAAAAACAAAAUUAAAACUCACUGCUAUAGAACUUAUUCGGUUUCGGAGUAAUGGAGAUUGUGGAGUACCAUGUGAUAUUGUGUAGAUGAAGAGGAACGUCAAUCUAUUUAUGAGAGGCUUGACUGGUUUCAAAUGAUGGAAACACAAACUAUUUUGGAUCUGUGUAACCGUGUUUCUAUUUUCUAAGUCUAAAGAGACUAAAAAGGGAGAGGCGAGAGGGUGCGGGUGCUCUGGUUAGGGUUAGUGGCCAGGGAGAGGGGAGACGGUGAGGGCGAGGGAGAGUGUUACUAUGUUAGGGAAUUAGGGUUAGCGGAGAGAGGCGAGAGUGGCAUCGUUUUCUAUUUAUAUCGUCAACACAAAACACUGGUUAGAGACCUUUUUUUGAACCGGUUCGGUUCGGUCCGGGUUAACCGAUUCCUGCAUUACAAAACCGAACCGAAUCGGGAUUUUUUCUAACUAUUCUAAUCGGUUUAAUCAGUUUUUUUUCUCGGUUCGGUUUUUUUUUGCUCGGUUUAUUCGAUUUUCUGUUUUUUUUGCACACCUCUAGUGUCAGGUAAUCUAAAAGGAUGUUCGGCGCAGUUUUUGUUUUUAAAUGUUUUUAAAAAAACAAUUUAUUCAAAAAAAUAUUAAAUUAAUAUUUUUUAAUGUAUUAAUAAAAAAAUAAAAAUAAAAAUAUUUUAAUAAAUUUUCAAAAUAAAAUUAUUUUAAAAAAUACAUUACAUACCCAUCUCAAUUUGAUGUAAAAUUAGGAGCAAGCGAUUUUUUUAUUUUUUUUUUCAAUGUAAAAUUAGGAGCAUGCGAUCCUUCCUCAUAACAAUUAACAGUGGUAAUGUUUGUGGUCCCUACAUCUGGCGGCUAUUAGCACGAUACUAACCAAGUACUCGAAUUCGCUGCUGGGAGGAUUCCAUUCCAAUAACAUGCAAACAUUAUGAAUGCAUUUUCUAGAAUAAUUAAAAAAACAAAUUAGAAAUUAAGAAGUUAAUAUAUGCGACGAAUCACUUUUUUAUCGGUAUAUUUUUAUUAAAAAAUUUCGGAUAAAAAAUAAUUACAAAUAUAAUUUUUUAGGAAAACAAAGCUUGGCAUAAAUAAAUUCAGGAAAAAAGUUAUCAAUGUGAAAAUAAAAUUAAGAAGAAAAGUUAUAAUUAUAAUUGUUAAUAUAAAUUCAUUUUUUUUCUAUUAAUGCAUUUUUAAAAAAAUAUUUUUUUUUUGUUAUAUAUAUAUUGUUUAUUGCAUACAAACUGCAAGCAAUUAAAUUCAAUAUUUAAAAAAUAUUAAUGAUUUAAAAAAAUAUAUUAAAAAAAAUCUUUUUAAUAUUGCAUGGAAAGUGAAAGCAAUUAAAUUCAAUAUUUAAAAAAAAAUAUUUUAAUCAAAAUCUCUUUCCAUUAAAAGAUUUAAUGAUUUAAAAAAAAGACUUCUUUUUUACAAAUUUUUUUUAUAAGAAGUAAUGUUUUUUAAAUAAGAACUUAUUAUAAUCUUAAUAAUAAGUGUUAAUAAAAAAUAAUAAAUUUAUAAUUUUGACAUGAAUGUAUUAAAAAAUAAUAAUAAUAAUAAUAAUAAUAACAAACUUGAAAACAUAUAUAAAACAAAUAGAUAUUUCAUUUAUAUUUAGAAAAUCAUGCACAUUAAAUUUAUAUAUAAUUAUUCUGAGAUAAAUUAUUAAUAUUAUAAUAUAAUAUACUAAUAUUAUUUGAAAAUAAUGAUAUAAUUGGAUUAUUAUUUAAACAUCAUUUAAAUAAAUUUAUUUUAAAAUAAUCUAAUUAUAAAAUGCUAAAAGAGAUAAAAAAAAUACAAGGCUAAGCAAGCACGGGCUAGAAGAAUAAGCCUACAUGUUCGGCCUACAUGAAAACCUAUAGGUUCUGGGGUCUAGAAACUCAAGUUCGCAUGUCUGAUUUUUCUAAAAAAAAACACGAUGUUCACUUUUAUUUUUAAAAAAUUAGACAAAAAAUAUGUUUUUUGACAGUCAAAUUACACAUUAUUUGUCUACUAUUUUUUCUAGUCAUAAAAAAUGUCUUCGUGAUUGAAAAAUUAGGAUUCAAAAACUUGAACCCCAAAAACCUAGAAUCCAACCAUUUUCCAUCCAAAAAUAUAAAGAAAAAAAAACAUUUAAUGAACCUCCAUUACCUCGAUUUUAAUAAUAAAAUAUAUUUUAAUUAGUUUAAAAAUUCUAAAUUAAAUCAAAUUAAAAAAAAAAAACUCAUGCACUGAAAAUGGCCACGCUUCUUAGGGUUUGGACUAGGAUUUGAGACUCAUGGUUUCUUGUUGGUCCACUUUGAGUAUGAGUUCUCAUAUUUUGUAGCUUCCCUUCCCUUGAACAUUCAUUCUUGGUAAAACAUGUCAUGAAUUUAUAUAAUAAAAACAAUUUUUAUUUUUUAUUUUAUUUUUUAUCUGUCACGUAACUAAGUUUCAUCCUCUUUCUCGUCUCGUCCGUUCACCAAACGCCUCCAUGGUUAUUUCCAUGAUCAAUAAUCCAUUGUCUUUUAAACAACCAUUAAUUUUAUUUGUGGUGGGCAGUUACUGCUAAACAUUCAGUGAACUUGAAAUGUGUUUUCAAGUUUAAGUUUAUUUAGGCCGUCUCUGGACCACUGGUCCACCUUCCUAAAUAUAGACCAAAUUAACAUGAUGUGAAGAACAGAUCCCAUUGUGAACAUGAUAAUCAAAUCCACUUUGAAGGUCCCCCUCAAAGUUUUGUGAUUUUCGAUAAGAUUCCCAGUAGAUGCACAGAAACCCAGAAACCCACAUACAUUUCAUCAAGAAAUACCUUAGAAAGGUCUAGAGGAACAUUAAUCAGUGGCCUCACUGUGUGUGUGUGUGAAGGAGCCAUGGUUACGCUCAACUCUUGGAAAGACCAAUUAGUCUUGCUUCGAUCGUUCUUUGCAUAAGACCAAUAUCCGGCUUCCUUGGCAACCAAAGAAGAGAGUGCGCGUUCAUGACAUGUUUAUCAUUAAUAUCAUUGAAUUCUUGAACGUCGAAUUCAAUGCCUAAAACAUGGUUGUUGGGGGUAACCAUCAUUGGUGCUGUUCAAGAAACCAAGAUGCCGUUGUCAAGAGGCACCUUCAAUACCUAGAGAAGGCACGAGAAUGAAUGCAAAACCAUGACCAGGGGGGGAAUUGUUGUAAGGGGUGAUGGAGAAGGUGAAAGAGGACGAGAAUGACAGGAGCUUUGAGGAGUUCGGGUAUCUUAUGGGAAUCCUUGUAGAGGCCUCUACCACCAGAAAAUGUGAUGUCUCCGGUGAGGGAAAGCGUGCCAGAUUGUAGCUCUGCAGUGCCAUAAAGUAACAAGCUCGAAGAGCUGAAACUGUAACUCGACUGCUAUUGUAAAUUGGAGAAAGGAGUUAUUUAAGAAGAAUAGUAGCACAUGGUGGAGCCCGAAGCUUCAAGAACUGGGUUCGUUACUGUCAAGUGCCAUCCAUCACCGGUCUUGUAAUUGCAACUUAGUGCAUGCACCUCCUUGUUUUGGAAGGAUAAUAACGCACUCAGCAGAUACUCUACAUCUUGGGUAUGGUGGAUGCAACAUUUGUCUUUCCACACCGUGGAAUAAUUUCACAUCAUCCAGAUACUCUACAUCUUAUGGCUAAUACAAAUGCUCUCCAAGAAUGGUCAAUAAUUUUGAGAUUGCAGUGAUAGUGGAAAGUAAAUACAUGUGAUAAAUUGCAGAGGGGAGAUUUAUCAGUGAGCUAUAAUCUUGUAGCUAAAAUGGCCACUAGCUAUCUUUCUAAGAACAUAUACAAAAACCCCAACCAACGGUUUUUAACUCAUAUUUCACAUAAGGAAACCACCAAUCAAAUUACUCUUAAGAGUCCCAGCAAUACUUCUCAUGUGGGGCUUACCUCAUCGACCUGAAACAAAUAAUGAAUUGGCUGAUAUUUGGUAGCUUUCAGCCUGGACUUUUCUAACCCUUGCCUUGUCAAAGCGUGCUCGUCUAACAGCUUCUUGGAUCUGGCGAUCAUGAUCCUUCAGCAUCUGAUCCAUGUUCCCCGAUGGAACUAUCAAUGGACCAGAAUAGUGGAUUUUGUGAGCCUUUGACCCAUAGCCAAGCUGGAUCCAAAUUAACAAGAACCAUGAAUCAGGAAACACACAAAAAAAAGGCUCCUCAGAAUUCAGGAAACAUGAAAUUGUAAAUCAAUCAACUUAGAAAAGACGGUUUAUAAACAACUUGCAUGAUAUGAUGCAGACCAGGACAAAGCAGCCAAGUGGUUAAAAAAUUCACUGAAAGGUUAAGCAAAAAAGCAAAAAAAAAUAAACAAACAACGAAAUAAAAGAAAACUGAAUUGUGAAGUGACUUACAAGGACAGGAUCUUUACUGUUAUUUCUCCCAUCUUCCUUUUGGUGGGAACCUGCAACACCCUGUGACAGACGCUGUGGAUCCUGUUGGGCAAAGGAUUCUGAGGUUUCCUUGAAGGAUCCUGGAAACCGUGCCAUUAGUUUUGGAACUUCCGGUUGUGAUAGGCCAGACCUUUCUCUGUGAUCUUCAGAUAAUAAACUCCUCCGCGCCGCCUCUAAGCUUGAAAUUGUUGACAGGUCAGCCCCCGUGUAAAUCUUAGGAGCAUCAUCGGGGUUUCUGCCAGCCUUUGCCCAUCCAGAACGGUGAGACAGUGGCCCAGAAUGUGAGGCUCUCUUAUGCUGAUGACCCUGAGGAUCCAUGUUUGAUUCUGCAGCUUGUGAUGGUCUAGGGGGAUCAAUUGGAAAGCCAGAAGCAACUUCCUCAGGAUGGGGAUUAAACUUCUCACUCCGGCUCUUGGAAUUUGGACGACCAUGUCUUUUCUGUAAUUAGAGCGCAAUCCAUUGAUAUAAAUUUCAUUAGUAAAAUCAAAUUUAAUCAAAUGGAGUGCCAAAAAAUAAAGGGAGUCAACAGUAAAAGAGAUAAUUCAUGAAAAUAGAACAGCAAGAAACAAUCAAUUGUUUAGGUAAUAAUGCUUAAAAGAGGGCUGGAGCAGCUCAAAAGGACAGUAGUCAGAUGUAGUUUGAUAAAAAAAAAAAGUAUGACUUGCUGCUUUCAAGGCAUAAGGAAGAUGGAGAGUGCGAGAGAGAGGACAAAAGAAAGAAACUAGAUAAGAUUUCUUGUGUCUCACAAAGUGCCUUUUGUACAAAGCUGUUUUCUGUAGUGGAGAAUUGCAAUUUCCAUGUGAUCAGAAUGGCAAGAUGGCACAUUACUUUAUACUUCAUUGUUCUGAGAAGAGUGCAAUAAGAAGUGUUCUAAGACUUCGUGUUAUGACUGGCUUGUUUACUAGUUUCAUCUAUAACAGAGCUAGCUUUAAAAAUAACUUCCUUUCUCUUCUGACCAAUCUUUCAACUCAGCAAUUCUCUGAACCUCACCACAUGGCCCAGCAAGCCUACAUACCCAUCUCCUAAUCACAAUACUUCCCCAACCGCACACACACACAUGCAAAAAAGUGUCCUGAGAGAGCUAAGGUUAUCUUAAAGAAAUCACCUGCAUUGAUAAAACUAGCUCAGCAUUGGCAUCAGGUGCUGGAACAGCUCGAGAUUCUCUUUGCCCUCUUCUUUCCAUGUCAGGUUUCUGGCCCUUGCUUCCUGCUGCUCCUUGUCUGUUUGUGUGAACAAAAAAUGGGAUUGUUAGCAAACUACACUACAUUUACAAGUCAAGGAUUCCAUCAGUGAUAGAAGCACGAAGGAUAGUUUAGUGGAUCAGUAAGAAACACACAAUAAGCAAUAUGAGCAAGGGCACUAAGGCAACUGUCACAACCAAAAUACAAAAUUAUGUAAACAGACACUGCAUUCAUCUGAUUCAAAUUGAUUCCUACUUCAACUAUUUUUUCUCUUUUCUCAACUAGUGCACGCAACUUCUAUAUUUUAACAAUGCCAUUAACUGCGGCCAACAUGCCAAAAACGAAAUCUUUUAAAGCUUUUUUUCCGGGCCUUUGCCAGAAGCCUUCCAACAAAAGAUUAAAUGAACAAUAAAUUGGAGAAAAACUUUUUUUCUGUUCUUUUACAAUGUUUACCUUCUAGCUUCUUCAUCUCGCAUUUUUGCAUCAAACUCUUUGCUAGGAGGAUAAUCAGGCAAACUUGAAGGAUCACAAGGAAGCGGCUUGGUCGUAAAGAACUUUAAACAAAACUAAACAAGUCAAAUACAAAUUAACAGAAAGCAAGAGAGAGAAUUGUAAAAUAGAACUAUAAAUACUAGAGCCAACCUCAGCCAGCCAUGAAGAUUAUACUCAUCUUAUGAUUUAUUUAUUUGUCUAAAAAGAAAAGGUUAAAUGAACACUUGCUACCAACUGCUUUGGACCAAUAUGUUACAUUAAAUGGAUGGUAUUUCUCCAAAAUUAUGUUAAGAUUACAAAAAAAAUAGCUGUGCUGCAUAAGAAGCUAUAAUAUCAAAUAAGGAACUCAAAAAUAAAAAUAUACGAUCAGUUACCAGAGCUACAUCAAAAAGGUUGACAAAUUGCAUGGUGAAAAGAAAACACAAAAAGAACAUACACACUCUUGUACAAGAUGCAGUUUUUUUUUCAAAGAACAUGUUACAUAGAAGGAAGCAUAGGGAAAUGAAGGACGGUUCUCUUUUAAUUGAUCACAGAAAAAAGAAGACAUACACAAAAAGAAGAAAUAACAUAUAUAAGAAAACAUACACAGAAAGAAAACAUCACAGAAAAAAUAAAUAUAUAAGAUCAGUUAACUGAGCUACGUCAAAAAGGUUGACAAAUAGCAAGGUGAAAAGAAAACACAAAAAGAACAUGCACACUCUUGUAUAAGAUGCAAUUUUUUUUUUCAAAGAGCAUGUUACAUAGAAGGAAGCAUAGGGAAAUGAAGGACAGUUCUCUUUUAAUUGAUCACAGAAAAAAGAAAACACUCAUCAACCACCAACUAAAAUUCAAAACUGUUCAUGGUUGUCGAAAAUUCACAAACUAAAUGUGAUACACCAAAAUAUACAAAGUGCAUAAAAGAGUGAAAUUGUAGGAGUCUUCGAGUGAGAUCAAGGGACAGAAAAUAAAUCCUAAAAGCAACACAGCAUUUGGCGACAGAUUAUUGAUGAAAACUCAACCCCGUAUAGUUGCAGGCUAGCAGUGACAAAAUGUGAUUAACAGAAACACAAUCACCAUUGAGAAAACUGGGCUUGGGUGCUUUUGUGAAGAAACAAAGUGGAAUGAAUCAAAGGAGCAGCCACAAAAGUUUGGUAAAGUUGAUUAGUUGUGGAAAAAUACAAUGAAGCAUAAUAGAGAGAUCUGAAACCUAAUAUAUGCAACGAGAUGGCUAAAGACCUGUCACAAUCUAAACCCCUUAUGAUACAACUUCAGAGUGGUGUGAAUUGCCUGCUAUUGUGUCUUUGCUGAUGGCACCAGGUGAACUUGAAUGUUUAACAGGAUUUACCUCCGUCCAAUUACAUAAACACAAACUCUUCCAGUGACUUUUAGAUUGCAACAACAUGGUAUCACAUGAGUUGGAAGGAAAACAGACUUCAGUCUCAAAAUGUAUUUCAGUGACAAUAAUAACAAAAAUCCUAGACAAAAUUAUUAGAAAGAUCGAAUUAAAAAUGAAAGAAAUGUUAAUGAGUGAUUUACUUAUUAGGUAAAAAGAAUUGAAAUAUAUGCACUAUCAUGUGUAGCAAUAUAGAUCUUCUAAUUGAAGCCAAUAUGUAUCUCUGAAUCAAAAAAUACCAAGAAGACCAUAAACCACUUUCCAAUGUAACACCAAAUCCCCCCACCCCCAAAGGGACAAAAAACACUCACAAAAAGGGAAGGGGAAUUUGAGAUACAUAGUUCAUGGAUACCUCAUACCUCACUCCUCAGAGCAGAAGCUGCAGAUCCACGAUCUACAGGAUCAAUGGCGAGCAGGGUCUCCAUAAGAGCUAAAGCUGGUGCUGGGAAUUCCUUAAAUGUUUCUGCAACACAGCGUCUAUAAGGCUGCUGAGGCUUAAAGAUAGUCGCAUGAGGCAACUUUGAUUUUCUCCAAUAAUCUUCAGAAGGUGAGCCACACAGCUUGAAAAUUUUAUGCAGCUGCUCCACCUACAAGGCAGAGGCAUGCAAACUAAUCAUCAACAUUUUAAGUAGCUGCACUAAUGUUUUUUAUGACACUUACAUAGAUUAUAAGAAAGCAGAAAAGGGAUACGGCAUCUUGUGAUAAUUAUUCUCUCUUUCAAUCUUUUCUUUUUGAUAAAUCCUUUUUCUUUUUCAUAUUAUAAGAAUUUUGCAAAAGGAUAAAGAAAUUCAGACAUAUCAGACUCUGUUAGGUCUUUGCUUGAGGUCUCUUUUUAAAUAAACUUUUACAAUAGCUUGCAACACUGCUAAAACAUAUUCUUACUCGAGUUCCCUUAUUUUUACCUUUGACCAAAUUUAUAGAAAAAAUAAGGCACCCUCCAAGGUUAAAGUAAACAUCAAGACACGGUUACCUAUGAUCAACACCCAUGAUUUGUCAAAGGUGAGAACUCAUAAGGUAUUAUCACCUAGUGUUUGUGUUAAGUGUUAUAGUAGUAGAAAGUGCAUGACUAUGUUUCUUGCAUUGCCCAACAGCUUGGAAUGUGGAGUUGAGUUUCUAAAUGCUGAAAAGAAUUAGGCACUUCUGCGUAGGGUGGAGAAGAUGUUAAUGAUCCAUUUAGUGGGUUUUUUGCUGACAGGAUGUAAUUCGACAAUCUUCAAAGCAAUAACUAUCUAGAAGUUAGCACGGGAUAAAAUUUGUAUCUGGCAAUAAUUAGUUCAACAUUGUACUUGGAAUGAUGGCCCAUGAAAAAUAAUCUGCAUUGCAGUAUAUUAUAACAUGAAAUAGCAAGCAUCUAAGAGAAACACUCUGUUUGGUGGAGAACCCUAAAAGACAUUUUUUUUUCUCGAGAAUAGAAAAGGAGAGCACCUCAGUUCUCCCUGGCAUAAUAGGCUUGCCAGCAUACAAUUCCGCAAGUAUGCAACCUGUACUCCAUAAAUCAACAGCUAUCCCAUAGUAGGUAGCUCCAAGUAGAAGCUCUGGAGGACGGUACCAAAGAGUCACUACUCGGCUUGUCAGUGGCUGAACCUGGGCAGGAUCAUAAAAACUUGCUAGUCCAAAGUCUGCAAUUUUCAAGAUACCAUUGUUGUCAAUUAAUAGGUUGGAACCCUUUAUAUCACGGUGUAGAACACCACGGCUGUGACAGUGAUCAAGUCCUCGUAAAAGUUGUUGCAUGUAACAUUUCACCUGCCAGCAUAUACAUAUUAGACCACAACAUCCAAAGCAUACAAGCAUGAGUCAAAUAUCAAACCUGUUCUACCUUUUAAGAUUGACAAUUUACACAUGGAUGAUCUUGGAGGAUAAGGAGCAUGUAAAACUAGCAGAUGUUAACAAUAAAAUACGUAUGAAUUUCAUAGUUAGCAGCUGAUAGCCUGUCACGGCAAAAUGCAAACACCCAUUGAAUUAGAAUCUAUUAGAACCAAACUGCCAAAAUUACCUGGGCUUCUGUAAAAUUCAGACCAGGGUGUGAGGCAAGCCCAGCCAAAUCAUGCUCCAUGUACUCAAACACAAGGUACAAGCUGCAUGACAUCCUUGAUGUAACUAGGCCUUCUAACUUUAUUACAUUAGGAUGGUCAAGCCUGCGCAAGAUGUGAAUUUCCCUGGCCAUGAAGCGAACACUCUCAGGUUCCAGGUUAUCAAACCUUACUUUCUUCAAAGCAACAAUCUUCUUCUGAUCAAGGUCACGAGCCCUAUAAACAUUACUGUAGGUUCCCUGGCCAAUCUGCAUUAUAAUAGAAAUCAUCAGAUGAGGGAACCAAAUCCCAAAAGCAGGUCAUUUCAGUUCAAAGAGGACAGCAGCAGAUAAAAAUAACAGGGCAAACCAUUCUACAAGAACUUGUGGGACCUGAAUAGAAUGAUCUGCUGUUGUCAACUACUCAAAAAUUAUACACAAAAAAGUGCAAAUAGAAGUCCAUGAUAUCCAAACAAGAAAUGCUCAACAGCAAACCUGGCCCCUUGGCCCUAGCUUAAAGAGUAAGAAAAUAGUAAAAUACAAUGGUCAGGGACACAGGAUACAGAUUUGCACAUUCAGACCAGCCUAUUCAUGCAAAUCGCUUCAUCCUUCAAGACUAGAAGUUUGAAAAAAUUCAGCCAAAUUAACCAAAACGGAAUACCAAAAGCAGGGAGCAGGAAAUUCCAGCUACUGAAGUUGUUAACAAGCAUCCAUUUCUUGAAUUAUGCGGUAAAAUUAACAAUACAUGUUCAACUAAAAGUUAUAAGCUAUCUGUCCAUAUAAUAGCAGCUCCCUCACACAUCUUUAAAUGCUAUUGUAAAAUUUAAGUUUUUUUCUUUAGGUGAGAGGGGCAAGACAUGAACUCGAGAUCCUGCCGCCUCUCCCCUGAUUCUUGUGGAUUAGAGCUUUUGGGCUAAACUAUCUCAACAAAAUUGAAAAAGACCUGUUACAAACAAUGUUGAUACAUAGCACUCAUCUUCAUGGACCCAACUACAAUUCAGAUAUCACAUACACACAAUGCAAGUUGAAGAUUAUACCACACUUUUAAUAUUCUGCACUUUGUUUACUGUUCUUCCCCCACCAUAUUUGUUUCAAAGUUCCCUCCUUCCUCAGCACACUAACGCUAAUUGACUGGCAGCUUAUCAAAAUUGGAUUCAUUUUAGACCCAUUGUAUCUAUUUUGAUGGAUAAUUAUCUAAAUGUUAUGGGUAUUCCACUAACUAUAAUAAAAAGGGCACAUUAUCAAAGAAUGGUGCUUCUCGAAUAUUCCCCAAUACUAAAUAGCUCUUAAAUUCUCUUAAUAGCCUCUUACAUUUUCUCAAAGCUCUUGGACUCGAACAUGGAUACUUCCUAUUUUCUGAUAUGGUAAUCUCUCUAACCAAAUAAAAAGGUCUAACUACAAGAAAAUCAUUCAAACCUUUAAAGCAUCACUAAUUCCUACACUGUGAUUGCAGAAACAUGGAUCUUUCUCUGGUGUAAUCAGUAUAAGCCAUUCAAAUUCAAACUCUUUCAUAUCCAUACUGUCUCAAGCCUCUCAAAACUCUAUGCUUCUCAAGCCUCCAGGCUCUGACAAGUAAACUGAACUUCUAGCUAACAUUUAUUUAGAAGUUAUCAGGUUCAAAGAAUCCGUCAUUACUCUUAGCAUGUAAAAAUGAGUUAUGCAGAGCUCUUAUGCAUGUUAUAAAUGAGCCUUCCUAAAUGUAUUUUUCACCACCUUGCUUAUUUAUAAAUAUAAAUAUAACAAGCAUACAUACAACACAAAUCUCAAGGAAAAGUCACUUAAUAGCACCAAAAAAAAGUUCCAUAAUUUUGCUAACUGAAUUCAAGCUAAAGCUAUAAAAUUUGACAACACACCAUAUCCAAUGCGUGCACAAAUGAAAAUGCUAAAAAAUGUAACAGUCCAAAAAGGUUCUAAUUCUAAUUAGCAAUCGUCACUUUGUUCAUUGCAUUAUGAACCAAUCGAGGUGUCAUAAGCAUGUUCUUCAACCAUUAAGUUUGAAUUGCUAAAUUUUGAAAAUCAUAAACAGAAUCUUGCUUGCAAUGGAGCAGAGCUUACAAUAACACAUGUCAACGUUGAGCUUAGAGAUUUUUUAUGAAGUUACUUUAAAAGUGGAAAAAACGAUCAUCAGUAAUUGCAGGACGUGUUCUAAACAAAAGCACAUGUCAACGUUGAGCUUAGAGAUUUUUUAUAAAGUUACUUUACAAAAUGGAAAAAGGGAUCAUCAGUAAUUGCAGGACGGGUUCUAAUGAUUAAAAAUGAGAUAUAACAACAAAAACAAAACGAAAAAAAGGGCAUACCUUGUCCAGCUUCUCAAAUGAAUCCGCACGCCGUGGCAACCAACCUUUGAUUGCCUCUCCAGCCACAGCAGCUAGCCAGGAAGGCCACCCAGCUGCAACCUGCUCCCCUUCAGUGGCUUUCGGUAUGCUGCCCAUACCUGGGUGGUGAAGAACUGCAUACUCUGACUUGUCCCUCUUCCUAUCAACAUGCUCAACCCCAUGCACUCUAAGAGACCCAUUCACUUGCUUGUCAAUCAACAUUGUCCUACCAUCAUUACUAUCAUAUUGAUCUUUCGCUCUAUAUGCUUCCUCUCUCCUUGAAGAGGUAGCCCUUGAUACCCUCAAGUCAGACGAGGGCUUACUUGAAAGUCUCUCUCUUGGGCUCUCCUUGCUAUCCUCAAUUGCAGAGGGUUUACAACACAUGCAACCCAUUAUGUACCUAAACCACCUCCAAAAACACCCUUCUCCUUUAGAAUCAAUAAUUACCCUUCAAAAAUCUCAUCUUUACACUUCUAUCCUCUUCUUCCAUUCCCAUUUUCACACAACCAAACUAUACUUCAUCGAAAAUAAGCAAUUAAACUAUGUAUCUCAAAAUCAAUCACCGGAAGAGCAUAAGCAAUUCCCACUCAAGAUUGAAACUUUAAAAUAACCGAACACUAGAACCACACAAUUUUGCACAAUAACUUAACUGUGACUCAAUGACUGCUCUUUUACUGUGAAACUUCCAUUUCCUUAUCAAACCCACCGACUCCUAAUCCAAAAAAGGAAACCAAUUUCCUCAACCUACAACGCUAAAAAUGAAAAAACUAACAACAACCACCACCUUUACUCCAACAACAAAUUAAGAAUCACAACCUGAAAACUAAAUACCUUUAAAAUGUCAUGCCUAAUCUUUUCAGCUAUCGAAUCAGGUGAUUGAAAACCCUCCACCAAACUCACAAUUCCACUACAAAACAAACCCUAAAAACCCAAUAAAAAAAUAUAGAACCCAAAUUACCAAAACAAACAAACAAAAUCUAAAGAAAGUAAAGAACUGGAAACACUUCAAUAUAAAGCAUGCACCUUGAAAAUGGAAACCAAAAUGGUAAUAAACAAUAUUGUGAAAUGAGAAUUGAAGGACCUCCUAGAGAUGGAGAGAUCUAGGGAAAGAGAGAGAGAGAGUGGAGUAGUGUAGAGAAGAUGACAAGAAAAUGAAAAAUGAGAAUAAAUAUGUAAUACAAUAAAUAAAUAAAUAAAUGUGAAAGUUAUUACUAUAUAUUAAUAUUAUUAAAUUAAUUAAUUAAUGAGAUGGCGCGUAAGAACAGACAGGCUUUUAGAGAAGACUGAGAACUGAAGAGUGAGUGAAGACCCCAAUGCGUAAAGACAUUCUUGGUUUGUGUCUUCUUCUAUCCCCACGCGCUCUGUUUAUAUUGACACGUGUAUAUUUUUUCUUUGCCUUCGUUUUUUUUUAAACAAAACAUUAUUUAUCAUUUGAUGAAUAAUCUCUCUUUAGAUUUUUUACUGCCAGUUUAUACCUGACUGAAUAAAGUAAAAAAAAAAACUAAAUAGAAUAAUUUAACAAAAAAAUAUUAAAACCUAUUUCAUUAAUUUAUUUAACUUGUAGUUUAACCGAAUAAAAACUGAAUGUUACUGUAUUAUUUUCAAUAAAAAAAAACUUGUGUAUAUCAUAAAAUUUUCUCAACUUUAUAUAAUAUUAUGAUAAUACAUAAUUAUAUAAUAUAUGUGUCAAAUAUUAAUGUUGUUUUAUGAAUUAAACCCUAGUCAAUAUUCAUAAUAAAAACAUAUCUUAUAAUGGUAUUGUAGCUUCACAGGAUCCGUUUUCAUCUAUGGUAAAAUUUCUGUGUUUCAUUUUUUACCAUGCUUUAUUAAAAGAAAAACUAAAAAACGUGAGAGUUUCAAUGUAACUCUAUAUAUAAAUUAUUGUAAAUUAUUAUAGUAAAAUUAUUCUUUUACCUUUAAAUAGAAAAAACUUAAGUCCUGAAGUUGGGGUUUUUUCCACUUACCUAUUAGUUAUUGAAAAUUUUUUUGGGGAUAUAUGUGUUUUUUCUAAUUUUUUAUACAGUAAAAUACUUUUUUUAUUAAGAGUCAACAAUAUUUAUAAAUAUUGACCAAGGGCUUUCUUGAUUUUUCUCAAAUUUUUUAACAGCAAAAAUAUUUUUUUGCCCCCGAUAUCAAAAAUUUAUGGAGUUGUUGGGCAAAGGUGUUUAUGGUUUUUUCAUGAUCUAUAUACAGAAAGCAUAUUUUUAACCUUAUAAAAGACCAAAAAAAAAUAAGUUUUUCCUUUAAGGGUGUUUUAAUAUUUUCAUAUGAGUAUUCUGUGUAAUUAACAUGUUCAUGAGGGUGUUUUGGUAUUUUUCACAUUUUCUUUUCAAUUUUUUAUUCUAAGAUCUGUUGAAUGCGUGUUCCAAACAUGCUGAAGAGUGGAUGGCGUUCGUGUCAUUCAGGUGAUGAUGAUGGUGAUAAUUGUGGUAGUGAUAUUUAUAAUGAUGAUGAUGUCAUCGUCGUCGUCAUCAUAAUAAUAAUAACAAUUUCAUACUCACAUUUUUUCAUACUCACAUUUUAUUCAAAAAAUAAUAAUAAUAAUUUAUUAUGAUAGUUGUAGUGAUUAUGAUAUCAAUAACUAUGGUGAUGAUGGUAAUAAUAUUAAGAAUUAUUAUAAUAAUGAUAUUGAUGGUGGUGAUAUUAUAAUUAUAAUAGUAAUAAUAAUAAUGAUAAGAAUAAAAAUAAUAGUAAUAUUAAUUGUGAUGGUGGUGAUAAUAAUUAUAAAAAUAGUAUUAACAAUAAUAAUAAUAAUAAUAAUAAUAAUAAUAAUAAUAAUAACAACAACGAUAAUAAUAACAAUAAUAAUGGUAACAAUAAUAAUGAUAGUAAUCACGAUAAUAAUACUAAUAAUAACGAUAAUGAUAUUACUUAUUGAUAAUAGUAGUGAUGAUGACAGCUGUAAUGUUAGUGAUAGAAGUAUUGAUGAUGAUAAUAACGAUAGAAUACUAAUGGUGAUAAUUCAUCAUUCGAUGUUAGAUUUGUUAGGAAUUGAGUUUCACCACUUUUCCAUGUAUGGAAUUUCCGGUCUAAUAUUCUGGGUUACUAGUUUGAAAAGUGUAAUUGGAAACUCGUUUUAGGAAAAGAUCCAAGAUAAGAGAUUUCAAGAUUCAUCUUAUUGUCCGGGUUUAUAGCAUUGCAAAAAAAUCUUUGUGCUCUUGAUAAUUUUUUUCUACAUUUUUUAAAACAUGGUUUGGCUCGUGGUGGAGCGCAAAAAAAUGAACGAGUACACUUUCUAUGUAUUGUUGUUUAUCGUUGUUUAGAGAGCACUUUUUUUAUCUAUUGUUAUUGAAUUAUUUUUAAAUUAAAAUUAAAAUUAAAAAUAAUAUGGAUCAAACACCUUUAUUCAAACUUACUAAAUUUAUGUAACGAUCACUUUCUUUAUUUUAUCAAAAUUUCUAAAAACCAACAAAUCUUGAUAUUUAGAAAUUUUCCUAAACAAAUAUAUACCAAAUGUAUUUGUGAUUUGAGUAUUUUUUUUAAACAUAGAAAUUGACGAAGUCAUGAAAUCUUCAUAUUGGAUUAUGCUUUCCACGGGUUGUGAUUUUAGGCUAGAGAAGUGACCGAUUUCACCACUAAUCAAUAAGAUUUUCCUACAAAACAAUCUCAUGUUGGAACAAGAGGUCUUCUAAAAAUUAAUUUAAUAAAAAACAUGAGGGAAAUAAUAUACAUGAAAGUAAAGAAUGUAGGAGAGUGUAUUUGUGAAUGUUGGAUUGGGUGCAUUGUGUAAACUUGUUGAAUAGUUGUUCGUGAUUUCUAAAAUUGUUGUCUGGUUGCUUGUGUGUUUCUGGAAGUGUUGGGUGGUUGCUCAUGGUUAUUGGAAGUGUUGGCUGAUUUCUUGUGAUUACUAGAUCGAGACCCAAAUAAUUUUUCAAGGUCGAGCCAGCCAAAAUAAACUGAAAAGCAAUUUGUUUGGGUUGUGGCCUAAAGGGAUUGAAGGUAGUCAUUUUGGUUUGCUGGCCUAAACAUGUUAUUUAAUUAUUAUUAUUUUAAAUUUUAACAAAUUUAUCGUGCCAUCAUAUGUCCCCCAAGUCUUUAAAAAACAUGUUUGGAAGACUUUACCGAAAAAAAGUAGGGGAUAUAAAAUACUUAUUGUUUUUAUACUGGUGAUGUUACUUGCUUUUGUUAAUGUACAUACAUGAGAGUUCUCUUAAUUGUUUUUCAUCAUUUCUGUGAAGAGAAGAGAAUUUAGUCAAUUUUAUGUGUUCUUCCUAGAAUAGAGAACAUUAUUACUUAAAAGUGGAGAAUAUUUCAUGUGAAAACAACUUUAAAGUAUUAUAAUAUUGGAGAAGUGGAGAUUUCAUUAGAGAUCUCAAGUUGAGAUCUUUAUUGGAGACAUUAGAAACACAUUUAGAGACAUAGAAACUUCGCUUGGAGAUGUGGAGAUUUCAAUAAAGAUAUGAAGAUCUCAUCAUGAAGAUUUUUUAUUGAAGACAUGAAGAUAUGUUUUGGAGACACGAAGAUCUUACUUUGGAGAUUUUUAUUAAAGACAUGGAGAAAUAUUACUACUUUUAUUCAAAAGUUAAUGGAGAUAUAAUUUCUAAAAAUUAUUUGAUCUUGGACAGUCCAUCAUAUGAAUUUUUUUCAGUUUGUUCAGAUUCUUUUUUUUUUCUUCAUAAAUUAUUAGAGGUAUCCUUUAAAGAUCAAUUUUCCCUCUUCUUUUUCAAGGUAUGACAUUCCUCAAUGUCGUGAUCAUGGUCAUGGUAAAAGUGACAGGAUUUAUUAGGGUUCUUUGUAUUUGCGCUGCUUUUCUUAGGGCCAGGUAUCAUUUCCUUGAUUGGUAGCCAACACUUUAGUAUAUGUAGUGAUAAAAGGUGUGUUCAGGAGCUCGAAGAAUGUUAGGCGAUCAAGAAAUGAUCUCUCAGUGCUCUUUUUCGAUGCCCUGGUAGGAGAUCGAUAACAUUACAGAGAUUUUGCUCUCUCUAAAAACGAUGAUGUCCCUAUUUGGCAACAUUGGCUUCUUAAACGAUAAUAAGAAUAGACAUAAACAUUAAAUUGAUUGAAUAAAAUAAAGGAAAAAAAUAUUAUGCUAGGUUGCACAUAUUAGAAAUAUUAUCUAAAAAUAAAAAAACUUAUUUUAAAAAAUAAAAUUCAUCUAUACAAAAGAUAAAAAAAAAAUUAUAGAUAAAUAAGAAAAACCUCGUAAAAAAUUAAAUGCAUAACAAAAAAAAUCAUCAAUUAAAAGAGGCUCUUUAAACAAAAUAAAAGAAAGAAGAGGUAUUAAUCUAAAUAUAAAUAUUUAAAAAUGUAUAAAAAGAAGCAUUAAUUAAAAAAAAAAAAAGGUCAGGUGCAGUAGCUAACCUGUCUAGCCUUUUUGUUGGGGCUCGCGCGACUAGGCCCUUAUUUGUUUUCGCAUUUAGGGUGGUGUCGCCCCAAAUGUUUUUGAAAAAAUAAAUCAGACGACACGUCGUUUGUUUUUGCCCAGAUUCCAACCAUUGCAGUGACCAAAAAAUCAAGGCUUAGGGUUUUUUACCCAGAAACACAUUUUUCAACAUAUUUUUGACCAAAAACACCUAUAAAACACCUUAAAAACCGUAACAAACCUAUUUAUAGCCUAAAAAACCAAAAAACCAUCUCAAAAAUCAAAAUCAACCCGAGCUCAUAUAUGUUUUUUCAUGAAUUUUAAAGGUAAAAAAAUCUAGUAUGAACUCCCCUCAUCAAAUAGAAUUAUUUGACACAAAUAUCGACCGUUUUAGUGGUCUAAAUUGGUAUUAACGGCAUCUCUCUCUCUACCGCUAGAAUCCAGCGACCUCUCUCUCUCAUCUCUCAACCAGAGACUAAAAGUAACAAAAAUAAAUUUUUAUACCGAAAUUGAAUUGAAAAAAUAUUAAGACACCAAAAUUGUAUAAUUUGUUUUAUUUUUAAAGUGCGAUGACCAAAGUAUAUCUAGAUCUACGGUGUUUUAUUUGUGUAUAAAUAGUGUCGGCUCUACAGCUAAAAUCACAUGCCUUUUUAGAUUUUUACUUCAAUUAGUUUUCUUUCUCCAAUUUGAAGGAUAGUAGAUAGGCAUUUUAUUUGUGUAUGAAUCCAAAAAAUAAAUACUCUAGUUUUGUUAACGAAUCACAUCAUGUGCUAGGACACGGCAACAAUUGCAGGGAAAACUUGAUAAUAAAGGAUGGAUUGAUUUGCUGGAUUUUCUUUUCCUUUUGCCUUUUUAGCAUUCUUUCUAUAACUUGAUAAUAAAUAUCGUUAGGUGGGUGAAUUGGAUGGAAACUCUUGCCCCUCAUUUGAAGGCCCCACUCAAAAUAAUCAUGAUCCUAAUCUUAGUAAGUUGAAUAAUCAUGUGGCUGUUCAAUGAUUGAUUUUUUUUGGGUAAUGCUGAUUUUAAUAUCAUUUUCAUCUAUCAAUUUGAUUAGGUGGGUCCUUGUCGCUGACAUUUUUCUUUGGAUGAUUGGAGACUUUUUUGACCUUCAUCCAUGUAUGUAUGGGUUUUAACCAGCAGUGAGAAAAAUAGUUGACAUUUUUCUGCUUUUGACAUUAAAAAUAUAAAGUUAAAAGGUUUUGGAAUACACUAUUUUUAUAUAUCCACUAACAUUGUGGAUAAUAAUAGUAAUUUAUAGUAUUGGUUUUUUUUUUUAGCAUUUUGACCUUUUUUUCCUUUUAAGUAUUGGUUUUUUUUUUUAAAUUUAUUCCUCAUAUGAUAUGUUUAUAGAGAUUUAGAGUAAAUAAUUUAUUUUAAUUUGUUUUUUAUAUAGUUAUCACAAUACUAAAAAAAUAUCAUAGCAUCGAGUUGGUAUCGGAAAAAAAUUUCAGUAUUACAGUAUGAUCUAUUUUUAAAAAAGUUUAGUGAAACAAAAAAUAAUUUAGAAAAAAAAACUAAGUUAUUAAACUUUGUGGAGUCAAUGACCCUGUUUCCGAGUUUGGCGAGAUAAUCCUGAUUGCCUCGGUUCGCGGGUUUUGUUGGGUACUUUUUUUUUCUAAUUGAACUUGAUUAUAUGAUCAUAUAUAUUUUUUUAUCAUAUAAUUAAAAAAUAGUUUAAAAAAAACAUGUUACUAUAUUUUAGAAAGUCCAUGGGCCUAUUGACGAGUUUAACUUUUCUGUUUUUCUUUUUUAAAAAAAAUUAUUUUUUUUAUUUCAUCCUUUGAUGUUAGGUUGAUUGAGAAUUGAGUUUCAUAAUUUAUUUCGUUUUGCUUUUUAAGAGGUUAUUAUAUUCUUAAAAAAAAAGUCUUAGAAUUGGUUUGAUGCUUAAUUUUGCGAUCAUCUAUUUUUGUUAUCAUAUAGUUAAAUAAACAAUAAUUUAUAUAAAAAAACAAGUUAUUAAUCCCAAUGGAGUCCAUUAUCAGGUUUGCGAGUUUGAAAUGUUGACCCGGGUUACCCGAUUCACGAGUUUAGCCAUCAAGCCUGAUAUUUUUUUUUUUAGAUUUUGGUCCUUUAAUUUUUCUAAUUGUCUUUUUUUUUUAUUUCACUCUUCUUUAAUAUUGGAUUGUUUGGGAAAUGAAAUUCAUGGUUUAUUUUUUUCUACUUUUUAUAAGGUUAUCACGAUCUCAAAUAAAAUGUCUUUUUUAUGGUUACUGCUCAAUUUUUCAAGUAUCUAAUGUUAUCAUAAAAUUAAAUAAAAAUAAUUUAUAAAAACAACAAAUUUAAUAAACUCAUUGAACUUCAUGACCUAGGUUACAAGAUGACCGAGGUCGAUCUCAUCUGGUAUCAUCUCAAUAUUAAAAAAAAAUUAUUGUCUUAAAGUUUUUUUAAAAGAUAUGUCAUGUUUUUAUUGGUCAUCUAAGUUGUAUUUAGACCCAUUAAAUUGAAUGAUUCACUUUGGAUCAACUCUUACGCGAUUUAAUUCAAAACUCGAGUAAGGAAAAGAGUCGAGUUGGCAGGUUUCAAGAUCAAACCGCUUGAUUGGAUUUAAUGAUACUACAAAAAAAUAUCACCAUACUCUUAACAUUUUUUUAUGUUUAGAAAAAGAAUAGUCUGACUCACAGUGAAAUGCAAGCAAAUGUAUUAAAACAAGAAUGUGUGACAUAAGCUCGUAUAUUUACAUUGCUCAUAGUUAGAUUAUUGGGGAAUUACAAAAUUGUCAAGAAGAGUGAUAAAUUGAUAGUUGGAGGCAAGGUUGUCAAAAACGCAUUUUUGACACGACAUGAAAAAUACAAAAUAAACUCGGAUCGUAAAAACGGAUCGUAAAAUCGUAAGGAAUUUUUUCAAGAGAAGCCUAUUGUCCCAAAUUCAAAGAAGAUGAUACAAAUAAAACAAUGUUCUGGAAAGGAAUAAACAUUACCAGCAAUGCUUUCAUAAUCACAAAGACACCAUAACACCAUCCCACGCAAAUUCAAAGAAAAUCAAUACAAACAAAACAAUGUUCUGGAAGGAAACAGACAUUACCAGUAAUGCUUUCAUGGACAGGGACAUUGGUGACCAGUUCCUUCACACUCAAACGUUUGCACAACAACGUUGUAAAAUUCAUAAUGUUCAAUCACCAAAUAGUUAAAAAACCUGCAAAGAAAAAAACAUCGCAUCAAAAGUUUGAACCAUCAAUAACAAAAGACACGCUGAAAUGCAGAGAGAAAAGAGGACACGAAGCAAAGCAAAACCAAGGUUUUUAUUUUUUUUCUUCGAAUACAUAAACCUGUUCAAACUGUCCACAUAGCAAAACAACAACAUUGAGACCUGCCAACAUUACAGGUAACCUCCAUAUGCAAUCUGUGAUUGUUCCUGCACAAACACACUAAUCAGUUCUACCCCAUAGAUUGAUCCCUGAAGCUUUUUCUUCAGAAAUGAAUCCUUUGCUCUUUAAACUUUAAACUGCAUCCUUGAUAAUUUGCUCCAUGGGAAUAAAUUCUAAACCCAAGUCCAUCAGCUUCUUGGCUCCAUUCUUUGCCCUUAACAACCCAGGUUGGGUAUCCUUCAGCAACCUACACCAAUAGGCACAUUAAGGAUCAAGCAGUAAUGAUUCAUACCAUCAAACAACCAGAAAGAAGUUUUAAGAUCUCAAUGAAGCAGGGGUGGCAAUGGACAGAAGUUUGAUCCACAACACAACAACAAGCACAACUUUGUAUGAGAAUAAAGAGCAAGACUAGUUAAAUUUAAUGUUCCCAAAUUCAAAACCCACAAACCACACUUAUCAAGAAAAUCUAAAUUCACCUCAAAUCAGCCUAUAUACUGAUUUUGCGAAAGAAAUUAUCAUAAGAAAAAUUGGUCUCAUUUCACAAGUUCGAUUACCAAACUUUGCUUUUACUGUAAUGACACCUAACCUAGCAAUAAUAAUCUACUACAAUUUGCUCCAAUAAGAGUUCAAACAUUCUGACAGCUUAACCAAUUAUAUAGACCGACCUCCAGAUAUGAGAAUAUUCAAGAAAUUGGUAAAAGCUAAACAAACAGCUGAAAUAUUCUUCUGAUUUGGGGUUUCAAUCUAUAAUCAGUGUUGUCUUUAGGGUUUUUGCUUUCCAGCUAGCAAGCUAAAGCAAAGCUUAACAUAUAUGAGGACAAAGUGAUAGUAUGCUUGCACGGUUUCACCAUUAUCGUCCAGACUUCCAUAAACAAGUGCACUAACAAGAAAAAAAAAAGAACAAAAAUUGGUUGUUGUUUGAGUUUUGCCUAUGCAGAGACAAGACUCGGUGAGUUGUGGAGGCAGAGCAGUAGAGGUGAGUUGUGGAAAAAGAGGCGAGACUGCGAGAACCCUUGAGAUUUGAGAAAGGGGAAAGGGGAAAAGGGAAAGGGGAAAGGGGAGGGUGACGGUGUGUCGGGGAGGGGAGACAGAGUCAGUUUAUUUUUUUCACUCUCUAUCAAACUCGUUAACUCGGUCCGUUUUUACCGAGUUGACCGAGUUUGGUCGAGUUUGACCGAGUUUGACCAUUUUCGAGUUUUUAACUCGAUUUUACAGGUUAUAUGGGAGUUGACUCGUAAAAUCGUACGAUUUUACGAGUCAACUCGCGAUUUUGACAACAAUGGUUGAAGGGUUAGACUUCAGUUUUUAUCUGAAAAAUAACAUUAACUAAAUAAUUAACUCACAUUAAAUAACUGGUUGGGGAAAAAAUUAAACUUAAAAAAAUUUCAAGUUUGUAAAGAAUUUCUAGGCAGUGUCAUUAAAUUUAGCCUAAGUCAAUUUUAAAAUCUCCUGAUCAAACUCAUCUCUUAGUCCAGGUUUUAAAUUAAACCGUAUGAAAGUUGUCCCGGUAUGACUCAAUUGACCUAAUGAGUUUAAAGUGACCCAAAUAACCAGUAAAAAGUGUAAUUUAACUUUUUUUAAAAAUUUCAAGAUAACAUAAUUUUUUUAAAAAAUAUUGAUACGACAAUAUAUUGUAUUGACCUGAGUUUUGCGGCUUAACCCACCAAAACCAUUACUCGGGUUAUGGACUCCACUUUUAAUAAAAAAAAUUUAAACUACUUUUUAUCUAAUUAUAUGAUAACAAAAAUAGAUGUUUGUAAAAUCAACCACUAACUUGAUGUUGGGAAAAAUCAUGGUGUUUGUUUGAGACCAAAAUAAAUUAUGAAGGUCAAUUCAAAAUCAACCAAAAUUUAAAGGAAAAAAUUGAAAAAAAAUCUGUCAAUAAAUAUCCAAUAUUGAAUGAUGACAUUGGGAAAAAUCAAAGGAAAAAAACCAAAAAAUAGGCUAAACAGACUGGCCUAUAUGGUCCAAUACGCCUCUACCUUCUUUAUUUAUUUUUCUUUUUUAUCAUCCACCCUUUGUUUUUUGAAAACAUAUAUAGUAGGCAAUAUGUUGUAUGUUUUUAUAGAUUCUGACCACCACAUGUGGCUGGAAAGUCAAGCUUCUAACUUAUAGGUAAAAAAAAAAAACAAUUUCAAAUAGUUUUCAAUUGAAAACACCUAAGAAACACCCUAGGGAUCUCAAUAAAUCCAUUUUUUUUAAUCUUAAAUUAGCAUUUAAUCAGUUAUAAAUGAAAAAUCAUUUUAAUCCAUUUUUUAAAAUGUGAUCUACUUUUUUUCAACAAAAUAAAUAAAUAAAAAAGAUCUAAAGAGAACUCUCAUUGUCAAAUGGAACCGAUUAACAAAAAUUAGUCAUUCACUAACUCUUUUUUUUGUGUUUUUAGCGACUUUCCCUUUUCUCUCACAAUUACAUGGUCUAAAUAUGAACAAAAUAAAAUUUAGAACAAAACCUCUCAAUUCCCAAACCAAAUAGACCACAAAGAAAAUUAGACAAAAUCCUAAGGCACAAAGGUGCUAACAUGAUUUUUUUAACGGAAGAUCCUUUUUUAUUUUUUUAAUUGUGGUCCCUUGAUUUUUUUAUUUUUCUUAAAUAAUAAAAUUGGAUUCAUUUUCAUGAAAUUGAGUACCAACCUAAUAGCAAGACUUUUUUAAAAUAGAGAUAACAAAAAAAAUUUGAAACAAAUUAUUAACCUUAAAUCUCAAUAAACACAACAUUGAAGCAUCAAAUUGAAAAGAAAAAAUUGAUGAUCAAAGGCAUAAAAAAAAUAAAGAUGACCAAAGUUAAAACCAUAUAUUUUUUUUAAAUGCCUUAUAUUGUUUUUUUCAAUUUUGGUCCCCUCAUUUUUAAUCUCUUGCAAACAAUAAAAUCAAAUAUAUUUUUUUGUGAAACUUGGCACUAACACCAUGUGAGGAUGUUUUUCUAAGAUAGCGCUAAGCAUAUAAAAAGCGAAUCAAAAUAAAUUAUCAAUCCUAAAUCCCAAUCAACACAACAUUGAAUGAUAAAAUUCAAAAAAAUAAUAACAAAAAAAGGUGUAAAAAAAAAAUGAAGCAACAUUGUGUGAAUAUAUGGUGUUUUGCCUUGUAAUCCACAAUGAUUGUAUGAUGCUUUUUCAGUUUUUAACUAGAUGUAGACUUGUACUACACCACAUGGCCAUAUUAUUAUUAUUAUUGCUUAAAAUGAUGUUCAGGUGAUACGAACAUUUUAAAGAAUGGAGAAAAAUGUGUGACACGAGUCAUAGACCCAACUGGGUUAAAUAAAUUGAUUUUAUUUUAAUUAGAUAAUAAAACAAAUAGGCAAUGACAACAGAUGGACCGAAAAACAUUAUCACGAUAACUUGAAGAAAAAACUUUUUCUAAAAAGGUGAAAAACGAUGUAGCUCAUUUAUCAACCAAUUAAAUACAAGAUGAUAAAAUUAGGUGAAAAUAGAACAAAGAAAAUUGACAUAAGUCAACUCAAGUUAGCAUGACAAACCUAUAACCCGGGUAAUAUAGACCAAGUCAACACGGGUUAGCCCGCCAAACUCUUGGCAUAAGUUAUGAGAUUAUGAUAACUUAAUAGAAAAGAAAAUGAAGAAAAUUACAAUGCCUAUUUUUUUUAAGAGGAAAACAAUGUCGAAUGAUGAAAUAAAAAAAAUAAGUAAGAAAAUGUCAACCCACUUUAACUUCUCAAACUCCUGAUCCGGAUCAUUAGAUCAAAAGCACCCUAUCUUAAAAAACCAUGAUGUCUGAUUCCUAACCAAUCAAAUAUUGAAUGAUGAAAUUAUAAAAAAAAAUCAAUUAAACAAAAGAAUCCAAAAUAGAAAAUAGCAAUUAAACAAUGAAGAACUAGAUUGAAAUAAAAAUAAAUUAGAAAACAACUACAAUUUUUUUAUUGAAGGGUGAAAUUGUAAAUAUAAAUCAAUUUAACAAAAGGACCAAAAAACAAUUAAAAGAAUGAGAAUCAAAUUGAAAAAAAAUAGCUUAUCACAAAUUAGGAUUGAAUGAUGAAAUUGAAAACAAAUUAAAAUUUAACAAAAGGGCAAAGAACAAAAAUUAAAAAUCAAAAGAAUACAGACCAAAGUUGAAGUCUCAAUAAAUAAGAGGACAAGUCUGAAAUUUUGAAUGCUCAAUAUGAAUUUCAAGGGGAGGAGGGAGAAAAGAGAAAAAUAGAAAGAAAGCAUUAUUGUUAACAAACCGCCCCCACUACUGCUGCCUUAUGCGGCCCCAAUAAGGAGAAGAUAUCACGAUGACUCAAUAAACACGUAGAAGGAAAUGUUUUGUUAUCGAGAGACGCCGUAUGCGCCGUUAGAACACUAUGGGAACCUCCUAUAUGCUAACCAUGUUUUUUAUUAUUAUAUUUUAUAUUUAUUAAAAUAUCAAAUUACCCCCAAUCAACUUAAUUAUAACUAAUAAACUAGGUUGAGAAUUCAAAAAAGCCCUCAAAUGCUAGUUUUAGAAUUUUUGCUUUUAAAGAUAUUGUAGUUAUUUUACUGCACUUUAAAAAUAUGAAAUGACCAAGUUAUUUCUGAUCAAUUUGAUAAUGACUAGUGAACCUUGUGAAAAGACUGCAUUACCUCUAAUAGUCAGUUUAAAGAUUUUUGGCGGGAAGAGCAAAAUCAUCAUUACAUUGUUAUAAUUAACAAUGUUUUUCCCUCCCAAAUUAGCUUUUGUUAAUUUUAAUUUUAAUUUAAUUAUAAUUUUCCAUAGCAGUAGACUUUUGGCCUAUAACAAGUUAACUCGAUAUUAUUUGUGGCAAAGGAUAAUAAGAUCCUAAGCAAAAAAAUAAAAUAAAAAAGUUCAAUUGAGUCCUUGAUAUUACUCUUUUUUAAUUUUCUACUUUAAAAAUAAUAAAACGAGGACUUAUAUGUCUUAAAAUGGUACUUGUUUUGGCAUGAGUUUUAAUCGUGGACUUAAUUGGAUAACGUAUGAUAGAUAUAAUGAAAUUUAACUUUUAAAGUUAUUCUAAACAUUACACUAUGUAAAUAAAAUGUUAAAAGAUAGUUCUACUCCAUUCAAUCUUGUAAUGACAAAUAAGUUCUGUAAAAAGAUAAUUUUACCUUGUACGGUUUAAAUUGUGAAAGGAGAAAUAAUAAUUUUAUAAUUUUAUUGUGAGGAUCCACAAUAAAUUAUUAUCUAUUAGUAUAACAGCCCGGCCCAACUUGUCAUAUAUUGUCCACUUUGGGCCUUACUGUCCUCAUGGUUUUGUUCAUGGUGACGCGAGCCCACAUCUGAGCCUGACGCCCCAAAACGCGUAUGACAAGUUGGCAACUAGCACUUGCUAUAUAUUGUCUGCUUUGGGCUUUACCGCCCUCACGGUUUUGUUCCUGGCGACGCGAACCCACAUAUGAGCCUGACGUCCCAAAAAGCGUAUGACAAGUUGGCAACCAGCACUCAUAAUAAGACCAACUACCACUCCCUCACCCGCCGAUGUGGGAUAUUACAAUCCACACACCUUAAGGAGCCUGACGACCCCGUCGGCACAACCGGACAAACAGUGAGGUCGGUUCUGAUACCAAAUGUGACAGCCCCGCCCAACUUGCCAUAUAUUGUUCGCUUUGGGCCUUACCGCCCUCACAGUUUUGUUCCUGAUGAUGCGAGUCCACAUCUGAGCUUGACGUCCCAAAACACGUAUGACAUGUUGGCAACCAGCACUAUUAAUAAGGCCAGCUACCACUCCUUCACCUGCCGAUGUGGGAUAUUACAAUUAGUGUGUGUAAUGUAUUCUUGAUUAAUUUUUUUAGCUUUUGCUUUAAUGGGUUUAAGUUUUAAAGUUUCAUUUAAAAGUCUCCCAAUCAUGCAAUUUGAAAUUCCUACAAUUCAAAUUGUUAGAUUAAUUUAAUUUCAGCAUGAAUUUAUCCCGUUAGGAAUAUAUUGGUUGGGACUUUGAUAUGCUUUGAUAUUACCAUGAUGUUACAUGGAAUCAAAGAUUUCUAAACACAUUUUUUCUUUCCCUCUCAUUAAUUAUAACUUAUAAGUGAAUGGUUAAAAAUACCAGUUUCAUAAAAACAAAAUGAUAAAAAGAAUUGAAAAGAGAUUAUGCAAGAAGGUCCUCUUGUCCUAUAUGCCAAAGAUUUUAUGAUGUUUUAUCAAAAUAUGAAACAUAGAUUAUAUUGGAAAGUUAGGGGUAAAUAUUUUCAGUUCAGUUCGGUUUUUACUUAAAAAAAAUAACCAAAUUAAAAUUUAAAACAAAAAUAAAAAGACUCAGGAUCGGCUCAUGAAAGAAAGCAGGAACUUAUGGAGGCCAUUGAACGUUGGAAUAUAAUGAAAAUUCCAACUUGAUUCAAUGUUGUUGGAACCGGUUUGGCUCGGUCUAAUUCAAUUAGUUUUAAACUCUUAAAUCAAAACCAAACCAACAUAAUUUUUUUGUUUUUCUAAUAUUUAAUUCAGGUUUUUUAGUUAAUUUUUAUUUUAUUUUAUUAAUUUUUCGGUUUUUUUCUCCCCUCUAAAGAAAGUAAUAGAACAUAAUGAAAUUACCAUGAUGCAAGUCUUGGUCGGUCCAUUGAACGUGCACAAUACCUACCAAUACCAUCUCACCUGUUAGCGAACAGUAGCUGUCAAUGUCCAAUAAAUAAUGAAUAGUUUAUCCAUUUGAUAAGGCAUUCAUGAAAUUUAUGGCAGUGUCUUCUGAAAUCGAGACAAGAAACAAGUCAAUGGGACCCCUUCAAGCUCAAGCAUGGUGGCCUCUGAGUUCUUCAUGCUCCACGUAGUUCAACACUUUGUAUUCUAGUUACAAAACUGUAUUAUUAUAUUUCGCCAGCUUUGAUUAAAUAAUCAAGUGAAUUCACAUUAAUAUAUCUGUUUUGUAAUCAACUGCAAGUUAUUUUUUUAAGUUUAUAUAUAUAUAUAUAUAUAUAUAUAUCAACACAUCAAAACUAUUAAAAGAUACUUAAAAAACAUUAAUUUAAUUAUUUUUAAAAUAAAAAAAAUCUAAAAAACACUUUAAAAAACAGGUUGAACCACAUUAUCAAAUACAUCAUUUUCGGAUAUGUUUGGAAUUGUGGUUGUGAUUCAAAAUGUUUUGCGCUUAGAAACGCAUCAAAAUGAUGUUUUUUUAAAAAAAAAAAUUAUUUUUAAAAUCAGCACAUCAAAACGAUCUGAAAACAUAAAAAAUUUAAUUCUUAAUAAAAAAAAUUAAAUUUUUUAAAAACACGGGUUGGAUCUCGUUUCCAAAUGAUCCAUUCAUGGUUGUUCCGAGUAAUUAGCUUUUCAUUAGUACAACGUAAAAUCAAAACUUCUUUUAAAUUGUAGGGGUAACAUUGAAAACAUUUAAAAUAUAAGGGUAGAAGUGAAACAUUUAUGAAUCUCUAGGAGCAGUAUUGAAAUUUACCCUUGUUUUUCUACUGGGGAAACCUCAAUUUAGUCCUCAUAUUUACUUCAACGUCAAUUGAGCCCCAAUCCUUAUGAUUUUGUUAAGUUUACCCCAAGCACAAUUUUAACAUCAAAUCAUUAUAAAUUUUACUUUAUACAAACCAGUUAUUCUCCAAAACAUGAAAGCAAAAGAAAAGAUCAAAGACUAAAACCAGAAUCAAUGAAAUCAGCCAAGAGGAAACAGACCUAAAAGCAUUGUUAUUAAAAUAUAUUUAUGCUUCAUACCUUGCAAGAUAUAUUUAUACUAUAGUACAUACAAGUAUCCAAAGUCAUCUUUUAUUUCUUUUAAUAUAAAUGUUUUAAUAUAAGAGUAAGAGAAAUAAAAUAUAAAAUCUAGAAAAUUUUCUAUGAAAUACCAUACAAAAAGUAACAAUCUUUUAAGGGAACGGGUAUAAUAAAAUUCAAAAAAUUCUUCUAAUGUGUAUUCCCACAUAAAUGAUCCUUUUUAUUUGACCUACAAAAACAAAAAAUAAUUAAUUAUAAUAAAUUAAUAAACCCGGCAUAACUCGGGUGAGACCCGACCUUUUUUUUAUAUAUUUUUUAAUAAACCCAAAAAAUGUAAAGUUAAUGUGUGAAUACUUUAACUUUUUCAUGUGGGAUAACUAUAUUUAUAGUCUAUAUCCUCAUAGAAUAUUUCUUAACCUACACUCACAUGAGAUAACAUACACUCACAUGAAAUGUUUCAGAUAGCUAUAUAUAGCCUAAAACCACAUGAAAUGUUUCUUAACUUUUUUAUAUGAGAUAGCUAUAUAUAGCCUAAAACCACAUGAAAUGUUUCUUUUCCAUGUGGAAUAUUAAAACCUCAAAAUAUUUUUUAAAUUUUUUACCGGGUUGACCCGUUUUGACCCGGGUAACUCGUAUGACCUGGACCCGGCCCCUUGGUCGGGUCAACCCUCAGGCCAGGUUUAAUAACUAUGGUGUACACACUGUCAUUUUAAUGUGGAUUUACACAAUGAAAUGAUCAUUUUGUUAUUUUUAAACAAAAUCAUUUAACUUGCUAUUGGAGGUAAAACAGUCUUUUUCAUGGGAUCCAUCUAUCAAUGUCAUAUUGAUUUGGGAGGUCCUGAUCUUUUUACAUUUUAGGUGCAUAUUAAAAUGACUUAAAUACCAUUAAAAGCAAAAAAUAAAUAAAACUGGGGACAUGGAGCUUUUUGAUUUUUUAAUAUUUUGAUUGCACAAUGAAAUGACUAUAUUUUUCUUAAAAGAAAAAAAAACUGAUAUAAAAAAGUAUUUUAGUCGCUUCAUUAUGGUUUUUAAGUCAUUAUCAAUUUUAAUAAGGGGCAUUUUAGUCUUUUAACAAAUAUAAAUAUAAUAAAAAAUUAAAAGAUGGUAAGCGCGUGCCACGUACACACUAGAGAGAGAAGGGCACUAAUGCCUUUUGAAUUGUGUCUGGCACCUCCUAGCGAUCAAAUGCCGCUAAUAUUUUUCUUUUCCUCCCUCCUCUUUCUCCUCGUCUUAGAUUUCACGCCAACCAUUUCAAAUAUCAAACAUGUCUUGUUAGUUUGUAUUUAUAUCAAUUUUGGUCUUCAUUCUUUUGAUUGCUAUUUGUUUUGUUUUUACGGCUUUUUGAAGUUGAUUUUUUAUUUAUUUUGUCCCCCAAUAUUUUACUUCAUUUAAUUUUUGUAUCUAAUUUGGUCUUUAUUCUUAUGAUUACUAUUUUGUUUUUGUUUUUAAUCCUUUUCUUGAUUUGUUUUUUUAAUUUUAUCCCUUAACAUUUUAUUUCAUUUAAUUUUUGUAUCUUAUUUGUAUCUUAUUUUUUUUAUUGCUAUUUUUUGUUUCUAAUCGUUUUCUUGAUUUAAUUUUUUUUUCAAUUUUGUUUCUCAACAUUAUAUUUCAUUUAAAUCUUGUAUUGAACUUGGUACUCAUUUUUUUUAUUGCUAUUUGUUUUUUUUUUAAUGGAUGAUUAGGAUUUAGGAAUUUUGCUUCAUAAUUUUUUUUGUGUUUGCCUUCUAAAGGGCAAUUAUGGUCUCAUGACAUAGGUCACGGAUUUUAAAAAUUAGCCCGGUUUAACUUCGGUCUUUUUUAGGCCAUUGAUUGCUUUUAUGUGGGGUUAUCCCGAUCUUAGAUUUUAGAUCAUAAGUUGGUCGAGUUAACCCGAGUUGACCCAAGUUUUUUUUUUCAUUUUUUAAAUUGAUUUUUUUAGAUUAGUCUUUCAUCAUUUAGUUUGCUUAAGAGUUGACCUUCAUCGUUUUAUUCAAUUUUUUAUGUGUGAGUUUAUCCAUAUCUCAUGACCAGGUCGUGAAUUUGGUAUGCUGACACGGUUUUUUUUAUCCUUUUUAAAAUUGAUUUUCUUUCUAGAUCGUCCUUAAAUGUUUGCUUUGCUGAUAAUUGAGCUUCAUAUUUCUUUUAUUUUUUUAUGAGGUUAUCCCGUUCUCAUUCGAUUUUGUUUUGUUAUCAAAUAAGAUCGUUAAGACUUUUUAAUAAUAUUUAGAAGGUCUAUUUUUGUAAUAUUUAUAAGCAUUUAUUUUUUUAUUAGUCAUUAUCAUUUUUUAUUGUUAUUUGAUUUUUUUAAUAAUCAAAUUAUUAAAUUAAGAAACUUUAUUGAAUCCAUUCAAAUCAUUGAUCUGUCUCAAAUUUUUCUUUCUCUUUUAAAAACACUAUCAUUGUCUGGACAUUUUUUUUUAACAAUAGAAAACAUUUUGUUAGGCCCGCGUCACAGGGUGGGCUACGUUUCCUAUUUUCUUAAGAGAUAUUCAUAAAAGAAGGGUAGUAUUUGGAAUUUGAUGUUAGUUUAUGUAAAGUUUUUGUUUUUUUUAAUAUAUAUAUUGGGAAUGUAGUUUACAGGAAGUUGUAAAUGUAUCGAUGCUGAGGCUAUUUAUCCUAAACCAAAGCAUAUUUGUUUUACAUGUAAGGCUCCGUUUGUUUGCAGGAAAGUUGUUUCCUUUUGGAAAGUGAAUUCCGGGGAAAGUGAAUUCCGAGAAAGUAUUUUCCGAUGUUUGGUAGUGUUAUGGAAAAUGAACUGGAAAACACUUUCCAGUGUUUGGUUAUGUUAUGGAAAAUGAACUGGAAAAUAAUUUAUUAAUGAAUUAAUUUUUUUUCAAGUUUAUCUAAUAUAUAUUAAAUAUUUAAUAUAAAUAUUUAAUCACUUACAAUAAAAGAAUGAAAUCUAAAAAGUAUAAUGAUGAAUUUUUUUAUUAUAUCUUAUAUUCAUACAUAGCUUAUUUUAUAAAAUAUAACUAUAUAUGUCAUAUCAUAUUAUAGAGAAAUAAGCUUGUGAAAUAUUUUUUAAGUUAAAUAUAUUUUUUUUCAAUUUUAAAAGCUUAAAAUAAGUUUUUUUUUUUAUAUGAAGAAAGCCAAAUUAGUUUAUGGUAAGAGUUAUAUAUUACAUUAGAUUAACAACUAUUUUAAUUUUAAUUUUUCGUCACUGGGAACCAAUUAAAUUUAAUUUAGAAACAAAAAUGUCUUGUAAUUACAAUAAAAUGAUUUAUAAAAUCCUUAUGUUUGGAUGCUGGGCCACCCACCCCCCUAAAAAAACGUUCACAUGUUUGUUCACAUGUUUUGUGAACAAAAGAAAGGAAAAUGUUUUCCUUAAAAUAAGGAAAGGAAAACACUUUCCUGGCUUAAAGUGUAUUAUCUUCCUUUGACCGGAAUUUGAAUUCCUUUGACUAGUUUUCCUUAUAGUUGUCAAACAUUGGAAAGUGGGGAAAAUGGUUUCCAGGAAAAUGAAUUCCUGGAAACAAACAAGGCAUAAGGUUGAAGUGUGAUUAUAAACCCUUUUGAUUUGUACUAGAUUUUUUUUACCUGCGCUACGUUGUGGGAUGGGUUUAUUUUUUUAAUAUAAAAAAGAUAUUCAAAUAAUGAUAACAUGAGUGAAUUCAGAUUAACUUAACUAACCUGCGAUUCAAGUUAACCCUAGAGAAAUGAAAGGGAAAAAAUAGAAAGCUCAAGGCCUAAUAAAUCUAAUUUCAAAGGAUAAAAUUAAAAAAAAAGAAACAUGAAAGAAAAAAAACCCGAGUUAACCCAACUUUACUCUAUUAACCUACCACCCAUGACAUGAGAUUGGGAUAAGAAAUUUAAUUUUUUAAAAAUGACUUAGAAAAAAGGAUCAAAGCUAAAUAAAUAAAAAAACAUUGAAGAAAAACCAAGUCACCCUAGGUUAACCUAACAAACCUGUAACUUGAGAUAACCCUAUAGAAAGAAAUAAUAUAUAAAAUCAAAACCUAAUAGCCCUGCGUAAAAGGAUGAAAAAAAAAGAAAAAAAAAUCCAAUGCAACUUGUGUUAACUUAACUAACCCAUGACUCAGGAUAACCCUAGAUAAGGAAAGGAAAAAAAAAUAGAAAGCUCAAGACUCAAUACCCUAAAGUCAAAGGAUGAAAUUAAAAAAAUAAAACAAAUCAAAGUUAAAAUCAGGCUAAUCUUUAAAACCAUCAACUCUUGUCAUGAGACCAAGAUAACCUUACAAAAGACAAACAAAACUCUUCACCAUAAUAUUUUUUUUUAAAAAAUAGUAAUACAAUUAAUGAGGACCUAAUUUGAUCUAAAAACUAAUGAAAGAAAAUAAUAAGGGACUUAAUAAAAAAAUAAAAGGAUAAAAAAAUUUAAAAGAAUUAGGGCUAAAACUAGAUAAAAAAUGAAAUAAAAUGUUGAAGGACAAAUUGACAGAAAAAACAAAUUAAGAAAAGGAUAAAAAAAAAGCAAUUAUAAGAAUAAAGACCAAAAUUUGAUUAAAAAAAUAAAAUGUUAAGGGAAUAAUUGAAAGAAAAAAAGAAACUAAGAAAAAGGAUAAAAAAAAAGCAAUUAAAAGAAUGAGGAAUCAAUUUGAAAAAAAAAAGUGAAAUAAAAUGUUAAGGGACAAAAUUAAAAGAAAACAAAACAGGCCAUGAUAUGGAAAAAAAAUAGUAAAGAGAAUGAGUACUAUAUUUGAUAUAAAAACAAAACAAAAUCAAAUGAAAAAAGGAUGAAAUUGAAAAAAAAUCUAAAAAAAAAUCUAAAACAAUGAAAGACCAAUCAAAAGAAAGAGGAUUAUAAUUGAAAGACAAAAUGUAUUAGAGGACAACUUUGAUUUUUGGCUGACGUAGCACAAAUUUCAAGAAUUGAAAAGAGAAAACAAGGGGACGAAAAGAAAAGUCAACUGUCGACAAACCACCAUGAUUUGAGCAACACGCGCUACCCCAUAAGCUUUGCCUCCACCGGACACUUUAGACAAAAUCUUGGUUGGGAAAUUUUGGUCACUGCUUGACGAGCGCAGAUAGCGUCCACUCCCUAACACGCGUUGUUCACGGGCUAGUAGCCUUUUUUAAUUUAUGAAAAUAAUAAUUUGCCCUAAUCCAAAUAGAGUAUAAGAAAAACUAUAAUAAAAAUAGUAAAAUAUCCUUUGACCAUCUUUUUAUUUUAUUUUUACUUUGAAGUCGAUGAGGUAAUUGUACUAUUUGUAAAAAAAAAGAAAUUAUACAAAAGCUUUCUUAGCCUUUCAUAUUUUUUUUUUGUCUUUUAAAGGCAUUUAUUUAAUUCAAUUAUACUAAAACAAUGUAAACUACUAAACUUUCCCCAAUAAAAUUGCAAAUGAUCUUUGGGUUUUAUGGAAAAUACCAUUCUAGCACCACAAGUAAGGCAAAAACUUUAUACAAAGAAGGGCAAAAUAGUAAUUAUGCUGUCCAAGUCCAUAGUGAAUUACCUCAACAUCCACAACGAAACAAUGAUCAGUUUUAGAGUUUUUUUUUUAUAAUAUUUAUAAGAUAAUAUAUUUUAUGGCCUCACAUAGAAUUCAAAUGCUUAAUGAUAACUCAAAGAAAAAACUCAUUUGUCGACAAACUAAGCCUGCAAUAUUGUAAUUCUUUUGUUUCCUAAAUUAAGUGUAAAAGAUAAUUUUGUCCGUGAUCUAUUACACCACUUUAAAUAUGAUCCUUAAAAACAAAAAAAAAAUCCUACCAGGUCCCUCAUCUAUAGGAUAUUUACUUAUCAAUUCUCAAUUUAAUUUUUCCCCUUUAAAAUCAUAAAAAAAACUUAGUCAUUUUUUUCAAUGCAAUUGGAGCAAAUGAUCUCUUUUUUUCAUCUCUAUUUUUUUCUAGCGACUAUCUCUCAUCUCUCAUACAUAGAGACUAAAAUGUUGAAAAAAAAUAUCAAAGGACUAAAUCAAGUCGACAUUUGUUUGACAACGCAAUAACUCAAUGGUAAUCAAAUUGAUACAAAUUAUGAAACCUGGUCUAUAAUAAACACAAUGUCAAAAGAUUAAAUAAAAAAAUAAAAAAAAAAAUGAAAUCAAGAGCCACUCUAGAUUCCUUCUUAAUGUUUGCCCUUCAUGGUAUGUUGUUCUCACUAAAAUGGAUUUUAUGAAAUUUAUUAUGUUUUGCCUUAUAAAUGCAUGAAUUGAAGUUUAAUAAUCACAUUAAAACCUUACACACGAAAAACAACUUACCUGUAAUAAUAAUGGUAUCAGAAACUCUUUUGGUAAGCGAAUGGUUAUGGAUGUUAAGUCAUGACUUCGUCAUAGUAGAGCACCCUGUAGCUUUUUAAAAGAAAAAAACAAGGGACCUGUAAUGUUUAUGUUUGUUUGUUGCUGUGUCUAACAUAUACCACCAAUCGAUCUUGAAUCUGUGUUUAUAAUCACAGCUGAAAUUAUGUUUUUUUUUAAUUUUCUAUUUUUUUUAAUUUUUUUAUGUUUUUGAAUUGUUUUGAUGUACUGAUAUCAAAAAUAAUUUUUAAAAAAUAAAAAAUAUAUUAUUUUGAUAUAUUUCUGAGUAAAAACAUUUUAAUAAACAACCACUAAUAAACUUUCAAAUAUCAUCUUAACCAUACAUUUGAAUGGUCAUUCAAUAUUUCUAGUGUUCUUACUUAUUGGUGAAUUGAUGAUGCACAUGUUAUCAUCAAUAUUUGUAAUUUCAAAAUCACUUAUGUUGCUUCUACAAAAAAACCAAAAAACUAAUAAGGUUUUUUUUUAUCAUAAUUUUUUUUUCUUAUUUAGACUAUUUAUGAUAAGUGUUUUUUUAUUCAUUUUACGCUUUAAUUAAGAUUAAAAAUUUCUUUUAAACAAUUUUAAAGAUGCACUUCCAAUAUCCUGAUUACUAAAACAUAAAUCAAUCUUAAAAAAUAAUUUUUUAGCAUGCAUAAAAUGUAACUCAUUAAUUGUUUUUUCAAUUUUGAUUUAGUAUUGAAUAAGAAAACUUAAAAAGAUAUUUAUUAUACUAUAUUAAUUAAGUUUUUUUGUCAUGCUUCAUAACCCAUUUUUUACCCCCAGUUUUUUUCAUGUAUUUUCAAAUAUAUAAUUUUUUUAAAGAAUUUAUUUUAAAUGAAAUUUAGUCAAUUCCCAACGUUUUAUAUUUUUUUCAUUUUCAUUUAUUUUAUUUUAAGUGACAAAGAAAAAUAAAAAACUUAAAAACAAUAUAUAGUAAAAAGAAAAAUAAAAAAUUUAGGGAGUGAAAUCACAUGCAAAGGAAGAAAAAUGAAAGACUAGCAAAUGAAAAAUAAUAAUAAAUAAAUAGAGAAUCAAGAUGGGAUUGGAAAAACUGUAAAAAACAAAAAAAACCUAAUUCAAUAAGGAGAUAAAAUAGAAUCUUCCAAUAUUAUUAUUUUUUUUUGACAAAAACCCUUAACAAUAUAAAUAAACAUAAAAAAAAACCUAGAUGGAGAAAAAAAAAGAAGAAAAAACAUAAAAGGAGUCAACUUUAGAAACACAUAGACUAAGAGAGAGAUAAAAAAAGAGGAGAAAAGAUACAAAAAAGGGACAAAGAAAACCUUGCCACAUCUUUUUCAUCUUCUCUCCUCUCUCAAUCACAACUGCGAACCAUUGUUCUUUUCUCCCUCUUCACCACCAAUACCUCCACAAACAUCGACCAUGAUAGUUUCUCCCUCCACCACAUCUUUAUCUCUCUACCCGAUCACAAAACAUCCUUGUUAUUAACUAUAACCUUGGAAAUCAUAGCCACCACAUUAACUAAAAUCGCACUUAUCUCUCUUAUCAUUAUAAAACACUCCAUGGUAGCAACCCUUUGGCAUUCAAUAACCAUGAUCAUAACCAAUAAAGAGAAAAUUGACAAAUAAAAUUUAUCUUUUCAUGUCAACCUCCCUUUUCAGAUCACGACAAGCUUUAUCAUCAACGUAGAAAGGAAAAGAAGGAGCAUGAGAACUUGAUCUAGUAGGUUUAAGGUUUUCAACCUUGUCAUUUUGUACAGUUUAUGUGUUACUUCGUUUACAUGCUUGUCUAGCUCCUGCACAUGACUCCCAUCUGCCACGACUACCCGUUUUUUUAGUAUCUUUUGUUCGAUUCCAAUCGCUCUUGAAGGUCAAAUACGAAUCCUAAUACAUUGAUUCACUUGUUUUUAUCAAUUUGCAAUAUGUGGUUGAUUUCCUAUUCGUAGAUGUUGUAUUUGCCUACAAUGAUUUGCUUGUGUUGAGUAAUUUAUAAUACGAGGUUGAUUUUCUAUGUGUGGAUGUAUUUGUUUUUUUUAUUGUGAGAUUUGUGCUUUAAUUUUCUUAAAAUGAAAAGUUAUGUUUUAUUUUUAUUGAAGAAUUGACCUUGAGUAUGGUAAAAUGGUUUUGUCUUCAUAUGACCAUUUAAGUAUGGUAAAAUGGUUUUUAUUGAAGAAUUGACCUUGAGUAUGGUAAAAUGGUUUUUAUUGAAGAAUUUGCACAUCCAUUAAUUAGUCUUACUUUCAAACCCGAUGGUUUUUAUUGAAGAAUUUGCACAUCCAUUAAUUAGUCUUACUUUCAAACCCGAGUUAUGUUUUUUUCUUCAUAACCUUUUCAAUUAUGGACUGAAAAAAUAGAUUUUAAAAUCAAUUUAGGGGAUUUUUUUAUAAGGUUUUGGAAAAGAUAAGAAUAAUUGAUUUAUAACUUGCAAUUUAGGCAAAAUCACAUCACAAGUAAAGAGAAAAUGAAUCGAUUGAAUAUGCAAGACUAGGCUUUAGUUUUUAUGAUAUUUUGUGUUCUUAGAUAGGAGAGAAGAAAGAGAUUAUAUUUUUAAAUUAAUUUGGGAUUUUUUAGGAGCAUAUUUUGGCUAUUUAUGUUAUAUUAUAUAGGAGGGUAGGUUUGGGUUGUUUAUGUUCACAAGUGCCUUUUAAAAAUAUUUUGCUUGUUGGUUUUUUUUUUUGCCCCUUUAGUCUGAUAGUUCUAUGUUUUGAUAUAAAACUUUAUUUAAUUCACAUUCCAAUUCCCGGGUUUGAAAAAUGAGAUUUAUUGGAAAAUUAUGGAGAGAGAAAGUAAUGGAAUGGUGAGAUUUCGUUGAUAAAAGGUUAAAUUUGGUGUCAAUGUGUUUUUCUUGGCAUAAGAAGUGUUAUUGAGGUAUUUUUGAGCUUUUAUGUUGUUAGAAAAAAUAGAUCGAGGUUAAGAGAAUUUUUUUUUUUAUGCUUUUGAGUUAAUUUAGAGGUUUUUAAGUUGAUAAAUAAAUUUAUCGUGAUUUAAAGGGUAUUUUUGGAAGUAAAAAAAUUGAAAUUUAAUUUUUUAAGUCCUAAAAAUCCUAGCUUGAUUUUCCACCAUCUCUCUAAUGGGUGAAAUUUGAACUCACAAAUAACACAUCAUCUACUUUCUUUUUUAACUCAUUAAAAAAGUCUAAAGGCAUGAACAUGGCCUACUUUUAGGUUUCUUUUUAAUUUCUUUUUAAUUGAAAUUUAAUUUUUGUAAUAUUAAAUAAUUUAAAAUAUUUUAGAUAUUAUUUUAUUAAAUGCCUUUAAAUUUUUACCUUGUUUCUGAAAAAAUAUAUCAGUCUUUUUAUAACAUUAAGAAAUGUUUUUUUUACAACUUAUAAUGAUUUUUUAUAAUUUUAUUUGGUUUCUUUUCCAUGUGCAUGUAUUUUUGCCAUCAUAUAAUUAAAUAAAACGAUAAUUUUUAAAAAAUAAAGUUAUUAAAAUCAAUAAGAUGUGUGAGCUUGAAUCAUGAUUUUAGUGAGUUAACUCAAGUCAAUCCAAGAUGUUUUCAUCUCAAUAUUUUUUAAAAAAAUGUCAUCUUUAAUUAAUUUUAAACAAAAUUAAUUUUUUAUUAGUUACCGAGAUUACCUUUGAACCCUUUAGAUUGAGCAGAUCAUAUCAAAUUAAUUUUCACAUGGUUUAAUUUAAAAUUUAGAUAAAAAUUUAAAUUAAAGGUUUUAAAAAUUACUUAACCCUAUUAAAGAAUCCACUAUAACAAUACAAGAACAUUGUUUUUCCAGCUGUGAUGUCUUUUAGUAAGGAAACGUUUCAGAAUGUAAAUGAUAUUUUUUAAAAAAUUAAUUUUUUUUUGUUUAAAUUUAAUUUUUUUAUAUUUUAUUUUUUUUUGAAAUUUUAAUAUUAAAAAUAACUUAAAAAUUAAAAAAUAUUUAAUUUAUUUUUAAACAAAAUUAUUUUUAAAAAAACCACCACUAAUAUAAUCUUAAAUAUUAUAAAAAAUGCAAAAACAAUAUAAAACACAUUGUAUCCAGAAAGAAAAUAAGAAGACGACUCGCACGCGCACACUGAGAGAGUCAGAUAUUUACCUGCAAAAACAGAAUGAUGAACAAAAAAACCCAUUUUUGAUAAGCUAAGAAAGAAUUCAAAUCUCGCUCUCGUUGGGUUUUAAAUCUCAUUUUCGGAGCCAAAUCCAUUUCUAAAACUUUUUCUUUCUUUUGUUGGCUAAUGUAGGUUGCCUUCUGUUAAUGUUGAGGUUUUGUUUUGUCUAGUUUGGUAUCAUAAUUCUCUUAUGAAUCAGUUUCCCAUGGAAUUCCAUUGAUUUGAUUUAUUAGAACAGAUAGGUAAGAAUUGAAUUCCCUUUCGUUAUUUGAAAGGAUAAAUGGGUAUUAGUGCAUUUGGGAUUUGAUUGAAAUUUAAAAACUGGGUUUUGUUUUCAGGAGUAAUUGCUGGUGGGUUUUGCGACUUAGACCCUGAUUUUGAGGAAACAGGGGGUUUCUUUCUUUUGGUUUGGCAUUGCAUAAGGAGAGGGGAAGUAGAGUUGUAGGUAUUAAAAAUCAGGAGAGAAGUGGGUUUUGGCUUUUGACAGAGAAUGAUUUGUAUAGGAGAAAAGGUGACAUGAGAAGUAGAGUUAUUGUUGGUCCAGAGGUACAAUGAAUGGAGGGUCAUUCGGUCAAAGGGGGAGUUAUGGAUCAUUGCCUUGCUACGGAAAAUUAUCAAAUAUUGCACGAAAACAAUCUUCGAAAAUGCCGCCAGUGAGUUCAAGGGACAAGGAGCGGGUUCUCCUGGUUGUUUGCCGGUGCUUGGGGCGUAGAAGAGUUGCAAUGUUGCUCUUGGUUGCACUUGCUCUCCUAGUUUUCAUCUGGGGUUCCCUUACAGUUAGCAAAGGUAUGGUUCAAACAUGUGUCCUUUCCUAUGAUGUAAAAUGUUUGAGUGUUUUAUGUAUUCUUUUGUUCUACCUGUCCUUAUAUUUUGGUACUGUUGCACUGAGUUACAGGAGGAUGAAAGUUUUCUAAUUACAAGGAAAUAAUCACUUAACAAAGGAAUAGUUUAGGCACCUAUUUAUUAGUUCAUGCUGACUAUUCUAUAUUUAACAGAAAAGAUAAAAUGUAGUAGUGUUUUAAUUCUAUGAGCAUCUUUUAAUUUUUCCUGUUGUUUGAAUGGAAAUGUUUAAGUCAUGUAUUAUUCAUGUCUUGAGAGCAGCUGUAGCAUGCAGUGAGGAGGGGGGGUGGGGAACAAGAAAUAAAGAGGUGGAGGUGGUUCUUCAUGAAUUUUGGUUCCCAUAUAGGUGUGGGCCAUGAUUGAAUAAUGGCCUUGUUUCUAUUAGUUCUCAUUCUGUGCUAAAUCCUUGACAGGAAAGCUGACAGCCAGAGAGUCUUCUUCUUUCUCUCUCUCUAUUUUCAAUCUUGAAUGGAAAGCAUACGAAGACAAAGUUGUCUUCUUGAAUUUAAAACAGGAGAUAAUCAAUCGAUUACAAAUAUUGAUCAGAAUGAAAGAUUCUGUUAUCAAGUUAUUUUUCUGCAUUUAAUUGAUGAUGUCAAAGUCCUGAAAUACUUGGGAUUUUUACUGCUAUUUGUUUUGCUUUAGACUGGUUGAGGCAAUAACUAAUGUGCAUUUUGUGUUAUGGAUGCCCCAGAAACCACAAGUCCAACUGUUAGACCAAUGGAUAGUAUACAUUUUGACAACAGUGAUAUAAUAAGCCAUCCUUCUGUUGCCUGUCGUUCUAGAGCUAAUAGCAUAUUGGACCAUCCAUGCCACAAGUUUGCUCUCCCUCCUCCCCCUCCUUCUGGUGGACGACGGUUUGGACCACGCCGUAAGUUUUGGGUUAUUUUGGUUGAAGUGUUCCUUAUUUUCUUGUUUUUCUGAUCAUUCUAUUAAUAUAUUGGAUUGGACCAUAAGUUUGAGUUGCUACAUCUGUGCGUCAUUUGGAAGUAAAAAAUGACUUCUGGCCUGAAUGUUACUAAAAGUCAUGUAUAUAAUUUUUCUUGCACCAAGAAUGUGCUCUCACAUUUCUGUAACAGAGAAAACUGGCAUGUUUUUGCAAUUAAUGUUAUUAUCUUUCUCAUCAGUGUUUGCUACAGAAGACCUCUUGCAUGUUCAAUUGUAAAUUGAUACAAAAUAACCCUCAAUACCUUUGUAUAAAGUAUGCCAAAAUCUACUCUCUUAGUUGAAGCAAAAAAGUGCUCACAUGCAAUUUAUUUCUGUUGGUGUGGUAUUUACUUUGUUGUCACUCAUUUGUUAUGCAGCUUGUCCAGUAUGUUACAUUUCUGCAGAGCAAGCUAGAGCUAGCAUUCCAUGCUCCUCAUCUGCAUCACCAGUGCUCCGCAACUUAACAUACGUUGUUGAUGAAAACCCAAUUAAAAUUGAAUCACAUGGAGGUUCAGAAUUUGGUGGAUAUCCUUCUCUAAAGCAGAGGAAUGAAUCUUUUGAUAUACAAGAGUCGAUGACAGUGCACUGUGGGUAGGAGUCCUUCUCACCUAUCAUCUUUCUGUAAAAUUAUAAGCAUUGAAGACUGUUUUGCAUGGAUCUCAUGAUCUCUGUCCUCCGUUAUUAUACAAUGUCCUGUAACAAAUACGAAUAACUUAUUUCUUAUAAACACAUAUUUUUCUGUUGGCCGUAUUUUUUAUCAGAUUUGUUAAAGGAAAUAGACCUGGCCGCCAGACUGGAUUUGAUAUUGAUGAAGCUGACCUGAUGAAAUUGGAAGAGUUUCACGAGGUCAUUGUUGCAUCAGCCAUAUUUGGUACUGUUUAGCACUGGACAUUCUGCAAAGAUUUCUUGUUUUAUCCAUGUUUUCUACUUUCCUCAUCAUUGCACUUUCCCAGGGAACUAUGACAUAAUACAACAGCCCAAGAACGUUAGUGAAGCAGCUAGGAAAAAUGUUCCUUUUUAUAUGUUUAUUGACGAAGAGACAGAAACAUAUUUGAAGAAUUCCAGCGCCCUAGAUAGCAAUAUGAGGAUCGGACUGUGGAGGAUUAUUGUCGUCCAUAACAUCCCCUACACUGAUGCAAGACGCAAUGGAAAGGUCAGUUUGCAUUUGUUUGGUUGCUUUGCCUGCUUCUUUCAGAUUUCUCUCUUUAAUUUCCUUGGGCAUCCAAACCUGGGCUGGAUUACAUCACUUUCUUCUUAAUUUUUUUUCUUCCCCUUGUUCUCCUGCUUCUCUGUUAACUCAUUGAAAACAAAGCUAUCAGUUUGUUAACAAAUUUCUGUUUAUCUCUUGGUGAGUCUUCAAGUAAUUUCAAUUUUGGUGCUAAUCCUAGCAUGGCAGAAUUUCCUGAAUAAAUUUCUGUUGAUAUAUUAAUCUAAAAGAUUUUCCUUUUUUUUUCCUUUUCAUUUUUGUUUUGGGCUAUGAUAUUCAAUAGUACCUCAUACUUCAAGUCAUUUUCUUUUCAAUUACUGAAAACCUAAAAUGUUGCUGCAAGAAGUGAUGGAUGCUGUCGUUGUGCUAUGUAAAUGGACAGGUUCCAAAGCUUUUAUUGCACAGGCUCUUGCCUAAUGUUAGGUAUUCCAUAUGGAUAGAUGGAAAGCUCCAGCUUGUUGUGGAUCCAUAUCAAGUUCUUGAGAGGUAUAUUGUUUGUGCUUAAAUUAAGUGGUCAUUGAAUGGAGUCAUUCAGAUAUGUAAAAUGGCUUGUGAAUUCAGUGCAUCUUUUUUUUUAAUUUUUCUGGUAUCUUCAAAUUGAGAUGUAUGGAAAUUUUGUUGUACCUGUGUGUGUAUACUCAUUUUCUUCUGUUAUCUGUCACUGUACCAAUUUCUGGUCCCAACAUGGCAUCACUUCAAAAGUUAUGAACCAUCAUAAGUUUCAUUGGUUCAUCAAUAGGCAACUUACGGGAUUCUGGAAAAAUGCAUGGAAAAUAUAAUUAUAGCCGUAUGCUCUUUUUAUCAGCUGUCUUGCAAUGUUAACAUUAUUACACUGUUAUUGAUCCUACAUUUUCAUUUAAAGCAUUCAAAAAAGGAACUGCUUUUCUUGCUUGGGACAUGGGAAUGUCAUCUUUCUGUUGGUUUACAGUAACUCAUGCUUUGGCAAUGUGUUCUGGAUAUGUUGACUCAUGUUAAGACAGUUUUUUUAGUGUUAGCAUUUACCAUAUAGAUCUUCAUGCAUAUUGCAUUUCUGGCCUCUAGAAGAAGGGGAAAUAGGUAGAUAAUUUUAGUAUAAUUGCAUAAUCUAUGUGUUUGAAUCAUACCUGAGCUGUCCUUUGGUUCAGAUUCUUGUGGCAGCAAAAUGCCAGUUUUGCAAUCUCAAGACACUAUCAUCGCUUUGAUGUGUUUGAAGAGGCUGAAGCUAACAAAGCUGCAGGAAAGUGUGACAAUUCAUCCAUUGAUUACCAGAUUGAAUUUUAUAAAAAAGAGGGUUUAUCGCCAUAUUCCAAGGCUAAGCUUCCAAUAACCAGUGGUAGGUGUAUAAUCCUAUGUGUGUGCGCACGCGCUUCAUGUUCUUGAAGAUUUGUAUUUCUUAUGUUUUCUGCUCAAUGACUGACCUUUUGCAGAUGUUCCUGAAGGUUGUGUUAUCAUAAGGGAACAUAUUCCCAUCACAAAUCUGUUUACCUGCCUGUGGUUCAAUGAAGUUGAUCGGUUUACUGCCAGAGAUCAGUUAAGCUUCUCCACUGUGAGGGAUAAAAUAAUGGCUAAAGUUGAUUGGAGCAUCAAUAUGUUUUUGGAUUGUGAGAGGCGUAAUUUUGUGAUUCAGGUACAUGUUUAUGUGUUGUCUUUCUAUUAUCAGGGGAGAUGAAACCAGUGCAUCUAAAACUAAGCAAUUUGUUAUUGUUCUGCUCUAAAUGAACCUUAUAAGUGAACUUUUCUAAUGAAGUUGGCCAAAAAAGCUGAAUGACUUUAAUUUUAUUGUUAUAUUAACUUAUGUAUUUUUUUUCCUUCCAUGUUUAACAUUGAGCAGCACCUCCUUCCUCUGUUGAAAGAGGAAAGUAUGACAAUUUAUUAUUGGUCUGCUCUAUGUUGCCUGUUUGUCUUAUUUAUUAUUGGUCUGAUUUUAGCCGCAAAUGUUCCUUGUUUCCCAAACACAGAGUUCUGGCAACUAAAUGGAUCCUCUGACAACAGUGUAUUGAACAAAGCUGUCCAGCUACUAUAUACAGUGCACGAGACUGAUCUCUAUGGGUGUCUUUGAUCCCUUCUCUAUUUUUUGAUCCUCCAAGUGUUUCUUUGGGUGUUUAAUGUGGUUACUCCAUGCAUUUUAUCAUGUUCUCCAUACAAGUGACAUUUGAGGCUAAAUUCCGUCCUGGGAGUGCAGCUAGUAUGCUUUGACCAAAUGAUGCUAAAAGCAGGAACGAUCAAAUAAAAACAAUCUUUAAUGGGGAUAAUUAACUUGGAUUUAAAAAAUAAAACUCCUAUGCUUUGGGAUGCUAAAUCCUACUACUAUUAGUUUCUCUGUAACAAAAUGCCACUGUUUUAUGGUACUUUUAUGCCACUUGAUUUUUCUUUUGACUUGCAGGCUUACCACAAAGAUUUAUUGGACCACAUGCCACCUCCAGUUGCUCAUGUUAUUCGACAUCCACCACCAUUACAUCGUGAUAGUUCAGCUGGGAGAAACCCAAGUAAAAAUUCAAGGCGUGGAAGAGAUAGGAGAUCUGGUUCAAGGCAACACCGCAAGGCUGCUGCGGGUAACAGGGAGAAGCAAACCUUUUUGUAGGAGAGGUAAAAGUAGGUGUUUUUUAUUUUUUUUCAUUAUACUGCACGGGGAAGAUGGAUUUGGUUAGAAGUAUUUAGAAUGACCCAAAAACAAAAGCAACCGAAAUUUUGUUUGAAAUUAUUGAUAUCUCAUAUUCUUUCAUUGUUGUAAAUACUUCAUACCAAAUAAGUCCACACCAGCUGCAAUCAUUGAAUGCUUCUUGAUUUUCAUUUACUUGGUGCACGAACAUGCAUUGGCCAUCACUUGUGUAUCUUGAAAAUGUCAGCUUUCAUGCUUUAUGCGUUGUCCAGUUAUAGAAAUGGAAGAUAUACUUUCUACAUUGGCCAUCACUUGUGUAUCUUGAAAAUGGCAGCUUUCAGGCUUUUUGCGUUGUCCAGUUAUAGAAAUGGAAGAUAUACUUUCUAUCCUCUAUACAAUAAAUACCGUGCCAUCCUGAGUGCGGAGCGACUAAUCCUUGUUCUUAGGAGUGUUGUUCAUCUUCUCUUUUGAGCUAUUAAGAUGCACUGCUUAUUCUGCUUUUCUAAGCUUGAAUCUGAUCUUUCCUUCAUGUGUUCUUCCAAGGUUUUGGGAAUGAGUUGUUUAAUUCUAGGGCAUUUGUAAGAUGAGAAAAUCUUAGUGUUUUCAGGCCUACGGAAUGUUUCCUAACCUGUGACUGUACAAGUAAAUAGGAAGAUUUCUGAACUGGCCUCGUCCAUGCUCUUACCUCAAUACCCAGAUUGAAAAUUUUGGUACCCUAUAUGUUGAAUCUCAUGUUUCUCCACUCUUAUCAAAUCCUCAACUAAAUUCAAAAGCAGGAAUUGAAAGUGGAAGGAUAGAUUAUCCUUCAACCCUACAGACAGCACAUAACAUGAUCCUUCAACCCUACAGACAGCACAUAACAUGAAAGGGUCUCACAGGAGAGGAGAGGAGAGGCCUAUCAGCAAGAUACAAGUUCCAGUGGUGAGAAUCGACCAUACACUUAAAAUAACAUACAAUGAAGUAUACCUGCAAAAUAUAACAGCUGUAUUGAAUACAAUAAUGGCUUCUUCUCUGUGAUGAUAAUAUAAUAAUGUGGUUUUGUCAUUCGAUUUGCAUACAGAACAGAGCAAUACAGCUUGAGAUAUGUUAAAAGUAUUCUAUGGAUCCAUUUUUUCAAGUGCAUGCCGAAAGCACUUUUGACAAUUAAAAGCAACCUCAAGUUUUAGCAAGUUCGAGUUAAACUAUAAAGGUUCACACUUUUUAGGCAUUGAUUCUCAUUUUCUGUUAAUUAUUUCUUACUCUUACAGUUCAUUUUAUAAACAAUUUUCUUAAUUCGAUGAUAAAAGAAAUAUCUUCCUAGUAUCAGUUAAAAUUUGAUAACACCUGCAGCUCAACUAAUAAGAUGCAUCGAAGAUGAUGUUGAAGUUAACAAAUUGUCAUGACACUUCCUGUUAGCUUUUUUCUCUUGUUUAAAAUUAUUAUUUUGAAAUUAUUUUAAUAAGCUAAUAUUAAAAAUAAAUUUUAAAAAAUAAAAAAAAUAGGACAUGAUAAAAGUUAUAUUUAUUACACCCUCUGUAGAUUUCUCGUGAGGAAGAAAGGUCGUGUGAACUUGAUCCUCCUACAUGACGAUACAUGGAUUCUAACUUCCAAAAAGCAAAAAUAAAAAAUUCCAAAAAGAGCUUUUCUUCUACAUUUAAGAUAAUUAGAAACACAAAGGGUAGAGGGUCGGCCAGUGAACAUGUGACCCACAAAUGUGGGAUUGCUAAGCACAAGAAGCAAAGAAAGGCAUAAAAAAACGAAGGCAUUUUGUGCAUGGGAGGAAGGUAUGGUAUGGGAUUAUUGAGAGCAAGAAAUCUCUAUGGAUUGCCACUUGAAAGGAUAUAAAACACCAAAUUAUUGCUUUCUCUACCACCUCUCUGUCCAAAUCUACAUACCUUAAUUAAAUAAGUCUGAGCCCACAGAAUUAUUAUAUCCAUUAAUUUAGCUCAAUUAUUAUAUCACCCAUAAAUGUCACAUCCAGAUCAGCACCAAUAAUUUUACCUUCCGUUCCAGUUUCAUUUCCCUUCAAUUUGUUUACAGCUUUAGGGUUUUGGGAUGCAAAAGGGUUUCCUGGAUCUGUCUCUCAACAUCUUGAAUUUGAGGUUAGGAUCCUAUAGUCUUUUAUUGGUGGAUUAAAGGGGUCUUAUAUUGAAAUUUGAGGUGGGGUUUAUGUGGGUUUUUCUUGUUUAAUACACUUUGAUUCAAGAUUUGUUUUCUUGGUACAAUUGGUGGGGGAGAUCAAGUUAUGGUCUUGAUUAAUGGGUUUAUCUUGGUUUUUGAGUCUUGGGUUGCUAUCGAAUUCUGGGCUUUAAAUCUUGAUCAAUGAUUCGAUCGUCUUUCUUCAAGAUCACACAUUUAAAAAAGUAGGUUUGAGGGCUCUUUCAAUAGGGUCGAUGUUACUCUUUUCUUGUAUUGUACUUUGGUAGCUAUGGUUUAAAGGCCUUUUCUUGUUGGGUUGAGCCAUUGUUUCUGAUAGAGUUAAAGAAAGGAGAGGGGAGAGUAGUUCUUUUUGGUGCUUGAUUAAAUGGGAUCCUCUGGCUUCUUUCUGAUAUGUAUGCUUCAUUCUGUGAUGGCUCUAACUUGUGGAGCUUUGAUGAUGUUUUACACAAAUGAGGCCACUGUGUUUGGUCAUGGCAUUGAAAUAGCUACAAAGCUUAAAGGUUCAACACCACAUGACCAACUCCUGGUCCAAACCUCUGAUUCCUUUUCUGGGUUGCUAUUGUUUGCCAUUGGGUUCCUUUUGUUCAUGGUGGCAUUUGUUAAGGACAGAGAGUUCCAGAGUUUCUUUGCUAAAGGUUGUGUCUUGCUACAUGUUUCAAUGGCUUUCUGGAGGAUUUACUUUGAGAGGAAGCUUGAAGAUCUGGCUCGUGAUUUGCCUAGACUAGUUGUUGGUGACAUUGCAUUGGCUCUUUCUUGGGUUUUCUUUCUUGUUUAUUCUUGGAGAGAGAAGUAUGAUUAGCAAGCUACAAGAGUCAGAUAGCCAGUCCAUCAUCGAAUAAAUUUGAGCUGUUAUUGUGGUAGCGUUACGGGUUCUGCCAAGUGGGAUCUUUUUUCCUGGCUCUGUUCUGUAAAUUACAGGGUGAAUCUGGAACUUUAAAGAAAUGGACGCAAAGCAUGGAUCGGAUUCUUGGUUAGUGCGCGUUUUAAAUUCUUGAUUGGAUCUUGAACAAGCUUGGAUUCCAAGAAAAGCUGGAGAUGAGAUCUGGGGGCUGCCAUUUUGUUUUUAAUUGAGAAUCUUCAACUUGAGAAGUUUCUUGCACUUACUGUGGUGCCUCUGUGGGCUUCUUGUAUUGAAUUUCAAUGGCAUUUGUAAAUCAACCUUCUUCAAAUAGAUAUUUGAUAAUAAUUAGAAAUGUGAAUCCCAUAAAAGUUUACUCGUUUGCUGCCAUCUCUUACUUUCCUGGCAAUCUUUUCUUGCUAUUUUUCCAGUCUAUUUGAUUUACUGAUAUUGCAAUUUGCACGCAUCCGCAGCUUUGAGUUUGGGACAAAACUAUGCCAAGACAUUUCCAGGAUUUUGUUAAGCAAUCCGAGGGAGGAAUGAUUUGUCUAAUUAAUCAAACGGCAAGAACUGUAAAUGGAGUCACACCAACUUUUAUUUUUUUAUUUUUUGGUUGUAUAUAUUAUAUGAAUUCUCAUCAUAUUAUAUCAUAUUAUUCGAGCUAUUUCCUCUUUGCAUUUCAAGAAUAAUUUGGAAAAAAAAAUAAUUUUAUUUAUUUAUUUUAAAUUAAUAAUUUUUUAAUAUUUUAAUAUUAUUUUGAUAUAUUGAUAUUAUUUAUCAUCAUAUUUUACAAGUUAUUUUGUAUUUGUAUUUUAAAAAUAUUUUUUUAAAAAAAUAUUAUAUUAUUACUAUUUUUAUUUAUUUUAAAUUAAUUAUUUUUUGGUGUUUUCAUAUUUUUUUAAUGUAUUAAUAUUAAAAAUAAAAAAAAUAUUAUUUUAAUAUAUUUUUAAAUAAAAAUUAUUUUAAAAAAUAAUUAUUAUUAUAAAAUCAAACAGAAUUUUAAUCUUUUAAUUUAUUGAAGAUUGACCUUAAUUUUUGUUGCAAACAUAAAAAAAAAAAGUUAUAAAGAAGGGGGAUUAUACGACUUCUUAUCUUUUCCGAUGCUGAAAUUUUAUCAUUCUAAAAAUAAUAAUUAUUAUUCCUAUAAUAAUAUUUUUUAUUUUGAAAAAUAACUCUUAAAUUUAUAUGGAAGGAAAACUAAAAUUUAUUGAAAAUUAUUUUUAGUUGGUUUGAGAGUGUGAUUAUUUUUUAAAAUAUUUUUAAUUUAAAAAUAUAUUAAAAUAAUAUAUUUUUUAUAUCAUCAAAUCAAAUAAUCUAAGAAAAAUUAAUUUUAUUAAAAAAAAAGAUUUAGCUUCUGUUUCAGCCGCAAUCCGAGUGCUUAUUCUACGUUAAAAAGAAAAGUAUAUGCUGUUAUUGGACCAUGAAGGCUCGGCCCACGGACGCCACAACAUCUUGUCUAGGGACCCGUUUCUUUCUUCUUCUUCUUCUUCUCUCUCUCUGAAGUUUCUAGCAUUCAACCACAACAGAAACCCUGCAGAGCCCCAACUCCUGAAACCUUUGACAAAAUUCUAACGGUAACUUAUUCUUUUCUUUUGCUCUUUCUAUGUUUCCUUGUGUUCAUCUGUUCAUUUAUUGUCUUUUAAGUUGUAGAUGGUCUGUUAUGGUUUAGUGUUUUGCUUUGUUUCUGGUUUUAUUGUUUGAAUAAACUUUUUUCUUUUUCUUUUUUCAGAAUUGUUAUUUGCUUUUGUUUUUUCUUUAAUUCUAAUUGUUAUGAGGAAAGGUCAUCAAAAGCUCAAAUGGUUUUAUCUUGAAGAUGAUUUUUUAGUCAAGAAUGCAAUUUUGUAAUGGCAAAUGAUUAUAAUUGGUAUCAUUAAUUGAUUUUGGUUUCUGGGUAUAUGUUUUGCAUAAAUUUCAAUAUUUAGGUUCCGUUUUAAAGAAGAUACUGUAGUUUUCAAGAUAGUUGAGAAACUGAGAACAUGAUAGACAUGAUCUUUCACUGCUAUGAAAAGGAUGAUCAUGCCGGAGUUCUUAGAGAAAAAGGUCGGAUUUUUACUCGAGGAAAAUGAAUUAUUUAUUUUUUUAAAAAAAAAAGUUUGGUUACUUGAAGUUAUUGAUUGGGAAGCUUUCAUACUGUUGGUUCUGAACUUGGGUGAAGCGCAAUUUUGAACUUUUUAAGUUUCUAUUUUCUGUAUGUUGAUUUUGGGUAUAUAGUUAGUCAGUUGCAUAGAGUACUGCUAUAUAACACAAAAAUAAGUUAGCGAAAAGUUCACAAGCAGAUAAAGUGGCCAGAGAAGUGAUUUCGUUCAACUUUUGGGCUAUUUAUUUUUUGUGCCUGUUCGUGUCCUAUUUGUUACAAAAUAUUCGUGUUAUACAGCUUUCUUCAAUUGGGUAAUUGAGAAGCUUGGUUGAGUUAAGUUGCUUCCUGGAUUUAAAAAGAAAUGGGGUGUCUUUUUUGAGUGGUUGUUUCCUUGAACCCAUAUAUAAGUGCAUUUAUAUUAGGCUUUUGUGAUUGCUUCUCAUGACUGUGUCAGAAUCAGAUUCAUCGGUUUGAUUGAGUAUAAUGUUGACAGAUUUUUGGCCAAAUGUCUAAUUUUUAUGAGGGGAAAUGGGAAUAUGAACAAAAACAAACCUUUCAUGUUGUUGAUUUACCACGCGGAGUACUUAAUCAGGUCUUAAGUUUCUGUCUUAGUAAGCAAAACAGCACUUAAUGGUAUGGCAGUGUUUCAAAUUGUUUGAUGGAGUCGGAUAUCAUACUGAAUUGCUUGUGCUAUGAGCUGCAUUAGAAGGAUGAUUAGUGAUCCCUUUGUAGGAAAACAAAUUGGGAUAUGAGCAAAUCUCAUAUGGUGGAGGACAGUCAUGCAAUGGAACAUCUGAACAAAAAUUUUGAAUUGUUUUAGUGGAGUUGAUUGAUUGGACAAUUUGUAGAACAAGGACUCCAGGUGGCAAAGGCAUUAAUUGGCAAAAAGAGAGAAAAGAAAAGGUGCACUUUUUUCUGAUGAAGAAAAAGAUGUCUCUAUUCACAACAGAAAAAAUCUCCUCUUUUUUUUUUUUCUGAUGAACCAAGCAAUUGCAAGCAGCUAGUAAUGAACAACAAACAAUACAGUAAUGAAGAAAUAGAUGUCUCUCUAUUCACAACAGAAAAACUCUCCUCUAGUGAAUUGUAUAAUCAUUGGAAUUAUAACAACGAAAAAAAACCUAUGUAAUGAGUUUAUAAAUAGAGUAGAGGCUCUUGAAUGAUUUUCUUCAUUCCUUUCUUUAUUUCUUUAUGCCUUACAUGUGUUUUCUGCAGAUUUGUGAUGGGUGGACUGCCUUUGCAAAAUGCUUCCCCUACCCCAGUUGUCAGCCAGGUGUCAGUAAUUACAAAUUCUACUAAAGAAUCAAAGCCCAAGAAGAAGAUCUGCUGUGCUUGCCCUGAAACUAAGAAACUAAGGGACGAAUGCAUUGUGGAGCAUGGUGAAGCUGCAUGCGCAAAAUGGAUUGAGGCUCAUCGACUGUGCCUCCGUGCUGAGGGCUUUAACAUUUGAGUUUGGUAGAUAUGGUUUAGUUCAUAAAUCAAUACCAUUUUGGAAUAUAGAAUACUUGUUUUGGAAUUACACAUACUGAAUAGGAGGAAUAAAGCUAGAAAACACAGGUUUUCUUGACCUUCUGUACUUGCAGUCAUUUUUAUCUUCUUGAAUUAUGAUUUCUUUCCUUCCUCUGUGACAAUUGAAAAUGAUCAGAAUCCUUGGGUGGGGUUGAUAUUGUGUUGUCUCUUCUCUUUGUCAGUGUUAUCUGAUUAUUUUUUGAACCUGUGAUUUUACAGGCAGAGGAAAGUUGUUCCUCUGAUGUAUUGCAUUCCUUACAUGCCAAUAACUCUCCCAUUUGUGAUUCCUUAUUUAAAUUCCAUUACGGUGUUAUGUAUUGUUCUGAACUUCUGAUGAUAGAUUAUAGACUCUCAUCUCGUACUUAUGCAAGCUUAUCCUCACAUGUUGAUUGUUAUCCUUACAAGUAGCAGUUGCUAAGGAUGAAGUGAAAAGUUAUAAUCUGAAGUGUAUUGUCCAGAAUUAGACAUUCUCAUCAACUUUGCUGCAACCUGAAUUAUCCUCUCUGUCACUUUUGAGCCAUUAUAUCUCCCUUGAACUCAAGUGAGCUUGUCGAAGGGCUGAGAAGCAACUCUGAGAGGAUAACUCUGGGUUAGAACGUCUAACUUGGACAAUGCAUCUUCAGACAAUAACAUCUCUUAUCUUCUUAUUUCAUCUUUGCAACUUCUAAUCACUGCAUGCCAGGCCAGUUCUAUCUUCUUUGUCAAUAUCGAGAACAGAUUCUCCUAGUUUUAUAACUCGCGAGUUCUAUCUUUUUUAUUCAUUGCUUCCUAUGCUAAUUGUCAUUUAGUUCAGAGAACAGAUUCUCCUUUUUUUUUUUUCCUUCCUUAUCUGUGUCCAUUGGCUAUAAAAUGGAAAAGGUAAAUAAGAAGAGAAAUCUAGACGUGUGAGUUCAAAGAGUUGGUUGACUGCAAGAAUUUCAAACUGGAAGACAUAUUAGGUCAUCUUUCAUGGUAUUUCAAAGCUUGUACACUACAUUUCAGAUUGUUUGCCAAAACUUCAGUGAUGAAACAGGAAAAUGGAAAAAACCCAGUCUUCUUCUCAUGUUUCUUUUACGUUUUAUGUUUGUAGUCUAGUGAUAAGUUUAUGCCCCUCCUUUAUGGUAUUUGCACUAUUUUGGUCGUUCUACAUGCUGCGGUUAAUUUUCGAUUCUAUUUGGUUUUUACUCAAAAUAAAAAAAUAAUAAUAAUAAUAACUAAACCAAAAGUUUUUAUUAUUUUAAAUUAAUAACCGAAACUGGUUCAAACUAGUUAUUUUAGUUCGGUUCAGUUAAUUGAAGGAAAAAACCGAUUUAAUAAAACUAUCGAGUGUUAAAUCCCCUGCUGCGAAUCACUUCAUUCUAAUCCAGAAAUAGCAUAUUAUCCCGAACGUAAAUAAUAGGAGUAAUAGCAUAAAAAGGAAGGAAAAAAAAACAUAUUUUCUCCCGAUGGAAGCGUAAGUUUCUUCAAUAGGCUUUGUCCAUUGCAGAAGUGUUCCACCAGCGUCCAACAAUAAUGCAUCAUAUGCUUUUUUAACAUACUUUAUUGCUCCUGUAAUGUAAUGAAACAAAGUGAACGAAUCUGAUCUAUUGAAAUAGUGUACGCAUUUAUAUAUAUGUACUAAUAAAUAAAUAAAUAAAUAAAGCACUAAGUAGAAAGGAAAAGUGACCAGACCAGCAGAGUGGAUGGCAAUGGAAGAAGAGCUUGAUAGCUUCAAUUUGAUAGGUUUCAGAGCUUUAAGCAAAUAGUUCCCAUGACAUUGGCCAAACGGGAAAUGGAGAUUUAGGAAUGGAAUUGAGCAAAAUAAAAGAAAGAUAUACCUUUAAAGAUUGCUAGAUACCUUUGUUUUUUCUCGAGACUUUGAACCUUAAAACUGGAGAAGACAAGAAACCAGAGAAGGGGAGAUGCGAGAACUGAGAUAGAGAGAAAACCUGGAGGAGGGCGGCGGCUGGGUUUGACUUGGCCUUUAGAGUUAGAAGAAAAGUUUAUAUUUAUACUGUUUUUCUUUCAGUGGUGGUUUUCUUGCUCACCCCUAAUUACCAUGUCGUGGAACAAAUUAGGAUAAGAGUUGUAUUGAUCUCAAAUAAGCUGAUGCCGUCGUACCAGAGAGCUCAUGAAGAAAAAAAUUGAGGAGUUCCAGUGAAGAUGAUACGCAGAAUAAUCUUGAAUUUAGAACAGUACUAGUUGGCAAAGAAGGAACAAAACUGAAAUGCAUGGUAAAUGAUUUAAAAUUGUGAGAAAGAAAUCGGGAUUCAAUGAUUUUGUUUUGAAUUUGAUGUUCUUAAUUCCUUUCUUCUUCCCCCGUGUCUCCAACCCAACGGUGUCUUGUUUCUGAGUAUGAAAGCAGGAUUCAAUGAUUUUGCUUUGAAUUUGCUGUAAUCAAAGCAAAAGAGGAACUGCUGGCUUGCCCUGAAACUAAGAAACUAAAACACGACAGCAUUUUGGAGAAUGGUGAAGCUGUUUGUGUGAAAUAGGUUAAGACUCAUUGUCCAGUGAGGACUUCAACAUUUGGCAAAUGAAUAUCACUUCGAGGAUAGAACAGAUACGAGGAAUAAAGCUAAAAACCGCAACUUUGCUUGACUUUUUCAUAUCUUCAAUCAUUUUUUCUUGGAACUCCACUAACAAUUGAAAAUGGCCAAAAUGCAUGAAUGAGGCCUUGAUACUGUGUUUGUCUCAUCUCUUUGUCGAUGCUUUAUUCUUGUCUGUACAUGUGAUUUAACAGGUAGACUAAAGCUCCUUUCUCCAAUGUAUUCCAUUCCUUAAGAUGCCAUUGAAGUCUUCCAUUCAUUUAUGAUUCCUUCUUCAUAUUCCUUAAUCAAUGGUGUUAGAUAUUGUUCUCAGCUUUUCUUACGAUGGUUAUUGACAAUUUAUCAUAAGGAGAUCUAAUGGCUGAAAAGCAAGUAACCAAGGAUGGAUAAUUAUUCUACACGCUACUAUAAAUUGAUCUAAAGGUCUUCAGACAGUAACCCUUUCCCCGAUUUCUUCUGUUCAUCUUUUACGACCACUAAUCAUUGCAUGCCUUGCUAGUUGUAUGAUCAAACAAUUGCUGGCCAGGUUACGUACUUUCUUGUGAUCCUUUUGAGUAUUCUCUUUCGCAAUCACUUGAACAUAUUGCUGGCCAUGCCGUUUCUCUUCGAGUUCAGAGAUCUCAGAUUAGAUUCUUCCAAUUUAACUUUCUUUUGCUUUUGGGUUUAUCUUUUAUGACUUCUCAUUGCUGCGUGACAUAUUUCUUGUGGAAUCUUUAAGUGUUGUGUGCAUUAGCAGAAAAUAAAAGGAAAAAAAUAAUCUUGACACGAUCCCAACGAAGAAGAGUUGAUUGCAAGAUUGUGGUCUGGGAAAAAAACUGAUUUCUUAAGCAAUAACGAUCUCAAAUUAACUUGCCUAAUUAUUGUAAUGCUAUCCGAUUGUAAUUCGCUGUGGUGAAGCUAUGCUUUCAUGCAUCAAAUUUUAUGCCAUUUGAUCACAGAGCAUACCGCUUGAUAGGCUAUGAACUCUAGAUUAAUAAAGUUCAGCAAUAUUCUUGCUCUGGUAGUCUAGGUCUACUUUAGCCAUGGAGACAAUAUAGUUGUGAAGUAAAUGAUUAGAAAGAUGAGAGAAGCAGAGUACUACACUAAUUAUAAGACUUCAUUAAAACCACACCAGAGGCCACAGACAUGGCCAAUACAUAACAAUGAAGAAGACACAAAGAUAAAGACACUCACGGACACUUUUGUUUGUUCACUCCACACCCACAAGUACAGAAGAACACAGAUUAUUUAUCAGAAAUUACAUUAUUAAUCCACUCCCAAUCCCACAUCAAACAUGAUAGUUGAUGUGCUUGCUUAAUGACCGCAUGUGCAGGUAGUGCAAGUGCAGCCAGUACCGCAGUUGCACUUGCCAUCGUUCUCAGCUGCUGGCACCUCCAUGACUACGGAGGAGACAUAGCUGCAAAAAGAAUUAGACUCCAUUGUAUUAGCAUCGUGUUCCCAUUUCCUUCAUUAUCAAUCUUAACUGACGAACCAAAAAUGUUUAGGAAUAAAGCAAUAUAUAUUAUUCAUUCUGCUUAUUAAUCAUCAGUGCAUGCUGAAGCUUCAAUCAUGUCUCUCAACGCUAAUUAAGACUACGACAACAGGACUUUAAAGAUAGAGAUGCGAAAGUUACUUCUUCUCAGUCUCGACGAUGCCAGCAGUGUAGCUGCUUCCCUUCUUGCUGCAAAUUAAUCACAAAUUGCAUGGCAUGAGAGAGCAGAUAGCAUAAUGUAUGCACGAAAGCCAUGCAGAAACAUGAACUACCUACUAUACAGCUUGCACAACAUAUAUAAACCAUAAACAAGCAAGAGCUGCUUAAUCAGGUUUGCAAAAGAAGGGGAAAAAAAGAAGAAGAAUUCUUACACACACUGGGUCUUGUCAGCGCAGUCGCAGGUGUCGCAGGUGCUAGACAUGAUGAUUGAUUGAUUAAGCUUAAAUGGAUGAACUAAAAGACUUGGAGUAUGAAUGUGUUCUCUGUGUAGCUUAAUGAGUUGUUAUAUCUUCAAGCCCUGCUCUAUUUAUAGAAGGAGAGAGCGCAUCAGUAAUGGCUGCGAUGAAGAGGAAGGGCAAUUGUGGGACCCUCUUAAGGCAUGAGAGAAGCACACUCUUCUCGAGGAAACGUCCGAAGGAAUCUUGA
This 62072-nucleotide long non-coding RNA is filed under the name Populus trichocarpa (black cottonwood). RNAcentral describes it as "long non-coding RNA (PTRI_LNC000409)". The record is from RNAcentral. Lineage: Eukaryota; Viridiplantae; Streptophyta; Magnoliopsida; Malpighiales; Salicaceae.